This 49225-nucleotide long non-coding RNA is filed under the name Salvia miltiorrhiza (redroot sage). RNAcentral's name for it is "long non-coding RNA (SMIL_LNC011427)". Lineage: Eukaryota; Viridiplantae; Streptophyta; Magnoliopsida; Lamiales; Lamiaceae. The record is from RNAcentral.
UGGGGAUGGUGGAGCCGACGGGGGCCAUGAAGAAGGUGAUGCCGUCAGCGGUGAGGUUGGUGGGGCUGGGUGUGAUUAUGAAGUUUACGGUGGUUUCAAAGUCGACUUGGCCGCCGGCUUGGGAGAACUGGACCGGGUUCGAGUGCAAGACCCGGCCGACACUGCCUAUCGUCGGGAAGGUGAGGCGGAGGAAGGGGGAGUUCCAUACGAAAUGGGCGUGGCCUUGGUAGGUGAGAUCGGUCGGCAAGUCACUCCAGAAGUCGUAGGUGAAGGACGUCGAUUGGGACUGCGCAGUGUUGGCGGCAGCGGCGAGGAGGAGGAUGAUGGAGGAGAGGAGAGGAAUUAGGGUUUGGAGGAGCUUAGCCAUGGCUUAAUUGAGUAUAUUUAGAUGUGGUGGAUGAUGGUGGUAUCUCUUGCUCCUAUUUAUAGUGAAUAGUGUAUAGUGUAUAGAGUAUAGUGUAUAUAUGCAUGAUAUUAUGAUUUAAUUGCCUAUGAAUUAUUAAACUUUCAUCAAAUUCUUAUUUUAUAUAUAAACUUCAAAUUAAAUGUAGCGUGAUAAUCACUAAAUUUAUUUAAUCUUAUAUUUGCUACCAAUCAGGAUUCUAGCCAAAUUUACUAUUGACAUUACAAAGUCGAGGAUAUCCUAAGAUGGAUUGAAACAUUAAGAUAUUCCAAGGAUCUUAAUAAUUUCUAUCAUUUGGCAUAAUUUUAUUUGAUUCAUAUCUCAUUGAAAGAAUAUGAUUUUUAUCCCCUCCGUUCACAAAGAUUGUAUGGUGAACUCAGGACAUGAGUUUUAAUAAAUACUUCUUCCGUCCCCAAAAUAACUUUCUAUGAGAGAGGGGCACGAGUUUUAAGAUAAAAUUGUUGAGUGUAUUCGAAGUGGUUAAAAAGUGUUAGUAUUGAAAGUGAUGAAAAUGUGUUAUAAUUAGUAUUUGAAGUGGUGAAAAGGUAAAAAAAUAGAGUAAAUAUAUGGAGUAUAUAUUAGUAGAAAGUGUAGAAAGAUCCACCAAAAUUGAGUGGAGAAAAAGAUCCACUAAAAUUGAUGUGUUAAAUGGUUGAAUAUUUUGUAAAUAUUGAAUGUGAAUGAUGUUUAAAAUGUAAGGGGCGUAGUUUCUAAAUAAAGAAAGCAUACAAUCUUUAUGGACAGACGAAAAUAAUAAUAAACAUACAAUCUUUGUGGAUUGAGGGAGUGAUAAACAUUUCAUUCAUUUAUUGUGGUUUGGAAUCGAUCUUUAUCAACAUUACAUGCAUUCACAAAUAUGAAGAAGGAUUUAAAACGUGUGACACCUUAUUUUAUAUUUAAAAUCGCAAUCACGAAGAGGACCACACUUAUCCUCUAAUCAAUGCUCUCCAUUAUUUUAUAGGAAAGGAUAAACAUGAUUCUUGGUUUAUUUAUGCUUUUAAUAUAUACAAUUAGAUGAUUUUUGGGGCAAAAAGUGAAGAUUUUGAUGUCCGACGGAGUCAAGUAAAGAAGUUGAAAAAAUCGAUUUUUGAUGCAAUUUUAGAAGAUCCAAAGAUGAUAAGAUCUGUGCUUGAGGGAACUUAUUUUGCAUAAGAAAGACUUUCAUUAAUUUCUUAAUUCGAGUAUAAAAUUAGAGGAUUAAAACCACAACUAAUGUUCCUUUGGCUUUUCCUUGAACAAUGUUGGGUAGCUAGUGAAUUUUCUUUGGUAAGUUCGUCCUUUUCUUUGACAAUGAGAAUUGACGUAAAUUGGAUUGUAUUGAAGAUUCUAGUAACAUUAUUCUAGUUUAUAUUUCAUGAUUUAAGGGCUGAAAAUAUGUAAGUAUGUUAAAGGCUAAAUUUUAGGUAAAUAAGUGCUCCAUACUUUGUUAAUAUGCCACUUUACAAAUAAUGUAUGUGUGAACUUGAAUUUGUUUUUUCAUUUAAAGAGAACUAAUAAUGAUAUCCAUUUCCCCCGUGAUGAUUCGAACCCCCAACUUAACAAUUACUGGUGAAACGUUUUAUCCAUGUGAUGACUCUAACCCCCCAAUUUAUAAUUAAUGAUUGGAUGGGAAGCGUAUUGAGGUUGUUAGUGAUUCUUCCAAGGUUAUUUUGUAACUAUGAACUAUCGAUUUUGUAUCAAUUGUACCCUGCAUUUGUUUUUUAGCUAGAGAAAAUAUGAGAAAAGAAAUGAGACAUUUAAAGGCAUAAAUUUUUGUUAUCCCUCAUUUUCUCAUCCAUCAAAGUGAACGCACCCUUAAAUGAUGAUUUGAAAAAAUAAAGUGAUUGUUUCUACGCUAAACCUAAUUGCGUUCGGCCUUUUUCGUUAUUUUAGUAUUUUCCUCAUUUAUUUUCAAUUCUGUUUCCUAUAUAUGGAUAUUUGAUGUAUGAGAAGAUGCUUUCAUAUGAUCCAUUUCAGAAAUAAAAUUAUUUAUUUUCUUUCUCACGAAGAGCGCUCACUUUGACAUCAGUAUCGCAUGAGCUGCACAUAAUUAAUGAAAGAAAAUAAGCAUACACUUGCAUUAUAUAAGAAGAGCAUAUAUACUCGCAGCCGUUUCUCAUAAAUUUCACGCAGUUUUUCGAUCUUUAGAGCCGCCGGCAUGCUCGGCCGAUCUGAAGCUCCAGUAGUCGAUAUCGUGAAGGGCGACGAGGUCGCCGGUGGAGGAGGCGAUUCCGACCUGAACCUGCGACGGAAGAAUUUCCCCCAAAUCAUACUCGUAUUCGAGAAGGCGAGUUUCUUUGUCGCAUUUGAGCGUAACGUCGAUGAAAUUGAUGCCGUCGUAUUGUAUGUGCAGCUGCGCCUCUUUCCCGAUGCACGAAUCGCCAAAUUUCACGAAGUUGCUCGACUUUAUCGAGCUGAUGUCGAUGCCGAUGUGCGGGAGAUCGUGGCUCGGAUCCCAACCGUUGGAGUAGAGGUCGAAUUCCACGGCAAAGAAGGCGGAGGCGGCCGGGCUAUCCCCCGAGGGGUUGAAUAGGCCUAGAUUGCCUCCGUAGGAACCCGGGGGGAUGGUGGUCCCCACGGGCGCCAUGAAGAAGGCGAUGCCGUCCGCGGCCGGGCCUUUUGUGGGGGUGAUGGUGAAUUUUAUGGUGGUAUUGAAAGAUACUACAAUUGAAUUUUCCCACAAUUUGAAGGGUUUGGAGUACAAUACGCGGCCGAUGCUCGACGGCCGUGGAAGGCCGUUGGCGUCGGUCUUGGUUAGCCGGAGGGAACGGGCGCCGUCGGGGACGUGGGCGUCGCCCUGGUAGGUUAGGUCGGUGGAGUUGGCGACGAAGGAGGUGAAGGUGAAGGAGGUCUUUUGUGAGGUCGCCUUGUUUGCUAGCAUUAGGAAAAAUGCUAUGCAAAAGAGGAGAAGAAUUAGGGUUUGUAGAAGCUUGGCCAUGGCUUGAUUUGAUGGGUGGAGUAUUAUUUGGAUGUAGUGAAUAGUGGUUGGCUCUCUAGCCCUAUUUAUAUUGGUUUAAUGCCACAUUCCAUUAUUAGUUUAAUAUAUUGUAGCUCACUAUUUUUUUUGAACUUUAUGGAGAAGGCAUGAGUUUUUUAAAAAAAUUGAGAAAUGUGUAUAAAAUGAAUAAAGAGGCUCACUAAAGUUGAUUUGGCAGGUAUUAAUAAAUUAUUUGUGUGAUGAGUUUUUUGUAAAUAUUGUGUGUGAAUGAGGGUAAAAUAUAAAGGUACAUAUGUCUUAAAAGGGACGGAAAUGACAAAUACUUAUUGUGGAUAAAGGUAGUAUAAUAUACGGAGUGUAUACUUAAGUUUAUCAAUUUUAUUACUAAAUUAAAUAUGGUUAAUUUAAUAUCAAUAUGCUUAUUAGUAAUUAGUAUUACUCCAUUCAUCCCAAAAACAUCAAUCUUUACUUAUUUUUUCGUUCGUCUCCAAAACAUCUUCCUAAUCUAUUUUUAUGUCCUGUAUUAAAUUUUCAAGCUAGUUUCACUCCCCAACUAUCGUUUAAAUUAUACAUACAUAUAUGGACGACUUGAAAAUUUGUUAAGGCAAUUGAUUAUGCCCAUGCCGUAUAGAAUCAAAAACCAUUCCUAAACAAAAAAUAGAAUAAUUAAGAAAAUAAUCUAGAAUAUAAAUAUAGAACUUAAAUUCUUUGCCACAAAUUUAAGUCAAUCAGCCGACAUAGUAAAUGUAUGUGUUUACAAGUAAUCAUGCCUUGUCUUGAGAUUCAAGUUGGCAAUUGAAGCAAAAUUUCUCACACAUAGCUAUCUACUCUAGCUAUGAAAUCAUGCAUUGUCUUGAGAUUUAAUUUGGCCCAUGAAUCCAAAUUUUGCAAUCAUGCCAUGUCUUAAGAUUCAAUUUGGCCCAUGAAACUAAAUUUCUUGAGCCUAUCUCUAACCUCUUUGAUAUUCAUAUAUAAUAACACCUUUAAAACACACACAACCCACUUCUAAAGUUCUACAUGUAUACACACGAACUCAUGCUUAUGUCACAAAUUAAGUUUUUCAAAAAUAAACUUUUCCCUAUUUGAAUUCCUUAUGUAUUCAGUUUGUUUUUAAUAUUUAAACUAUGUUAUUACAACAAAAUUAUCUAGCAGGGACAUGAUUUUAGCAACAUAAAAAAAGAUGUCAUAAAUUUCUUACUCCCUCCGUCCUCCGAAGCUUGAUCAACAAUUUCUUUUCGGCACGGAGUUUAAGGAGUUAAUAUUUUGUAUGUUAAUUAGUGUGGUAGGUGAAAAAAUGAAAAGAUGAAUAACGGGAAAAGUUGUUGCCAUAUAAGGAAAGUGAUCAAGCUUCGCGGAUAACCCAAAAAUGAAUACUGCUCAAGAUUCGCUGGAAGAAUGAAGUACAAUUUUAGGCAUAACAAAAAUUUAUUUACAUCCACACAUGCAUGCACCGAUACUUUAUCACAUGCAAAAUUACAAGUAACUUUGCUAAUUACAAAAAUUAAUACAUGAACCCUCAAAUGUCACUAGAUGUAAUGAUAUUUUUAUAUUUUUUCGACACACAUAAUAGUUACUCAUCACAAAAUAUCAAUAUUUUUAUCAUAUAGUGAUAUUUAUAAGUUUCACAAUUUUUCAAAUAUUAUGUCAAUGCUAGCUUAGACAUUUUGUUUUGACACUUUGUAUUGAAACAUGUUUUUUACAAAAAUAAAAUAAUUGAAUUUAUUAACGAAUAUUUAAACAAUCAAUCAAUAAUAACUACAAAGUGAAGCAAUUCAAGUUAAAAGGUAAAUUCUAAAUUUAAAUUUGAAAAACAAGAAAAUUCGAGCCUUAAUUUUUUUUAUUUUUUUAUAUACGCACUACAAAUCUCCCAUAAAUCUUAAAUCAAAAUUUAACCUUACAACAAAAAAUAAAUAUAUAAACUAAAAUGGAGUAUGAUAAUAUAGUUUUAUCAAAUUAUUUGAUAAUUCUAUUAAUAAAAGAUAAAAAAAAAAAUAAGGGGGGCCCACGGGCAUGCUGCCCCCAUAUGCUAUGGACCAUGGUGGCUAGGUCACUGCGCUCUCGAGAUCUACACUAUUUAUACGUGGUAUUCAUUGCGAAUUAUUUUGCAUUAUCUUUGUUUAUUUUUCUUAUAUUGGGAAAGAAAACAUGAGUAAUAUAUAGUAAUCUUUUAGAAGUCCAGUUACCAAUGUCGUCAAAAUUAUCUUGUCUAUUUUUAGAAGUUCAGAUAAACAUGCAACACAUUUUCAGAAGAAAUUUAAUAAUCUCUUACGAUUUACAUUUAUUUUUUAAAUAAUUAUCUCAGUGGUGAUAAAAUAAAAAAAUCGACUACAUUUUUCUAAGUAAUUUAUUAGAUACAAAAUAUUAUGAUUUAUGUUUGUAUAUUUUUUGUUUCCCAUUAGUGCAUUAUCAUUUCUAAGUAUCUUCUCACUUGUUCACUGAUUCACUAUUGGAUUAACAUGAAUAUACGAAUUUCAUAGUAUACCAACUGUUCGAUAAAAGUCCUAAAAGAAAUCUUCCAUAGAUAACCUUGCAAAUAACAGGAAACUAAAAUUACUCCCAAAGCAUUCCAUACAUAGAGAUGCGGAUUACCUUAUUCGUAGACUUAACGAGAGUACACUCGAUCGCUAGUCCUUAUUUACGACCCAAACUACACAUACAUUACAAAAUCACACAACUUGACGAAUGUUUCCACCGAGCUCCUUCCUGCUCUUGGCAGCGACGCCGACGUUUUGCACCAUGGUGGCCGUGAAAUACCACGCCACGAUGUCGUGUCUGGCGACGACUUGCCCCGUGGAGGCGGAGAGCCCGACUUGGACCUGCUCAGGAAGGAAGCCGCUCAAAUCGUACACAUAGCUGACCUCGAACGCUUUCGAGCCGGCGGUGACGUGGACGUCGAUCAUCUUCGUGGCGGCGGCGUAGUUGAUCCUUGCCGUCACCUGCUGCCCGAUUAUGGAGCCGUCGACCUCCGUCGUGUUGCCGGAUGACCUAGAGCCGAUGUCGAUGCCGAUGUGGGGAUAGUUCGGAUCCCACGCGCCGUUGACGUAGGUGUCGAACUCGACGGCGAAGACCGAGGGGCUGCUGCCGGAGGAGCCGAAGAUUCCGAGGUUGGAUCCGCUAGAGGAGGAAGGGAUGGUGGACCCGACGGGGGCGAUGAAGAAGGCGAGGCCGUCGGCGGCAGAGUUGCCGGGGCCAGGUGUGAUGAUGAAGUUUACGGUGGUUUCAAAGUCGACUUGGCCGCCGGUUUGUGAGAACUGGACCGGGUUCGAGUACAAUACCCGGCCAACUUUGGCGGUCUGUGCGUCGGUGAGGCGGAGGAAGGUGGAGUCCGACGGGAAAUGGGCGUCGCCUUGGUAGGUGAGGUCGGUCGGCUGGUCGCCCCAGAAGUCGUAGGUGAAGGACGUCGAUUGGGACUGCGCCACGUUGGCGGCGGCGAGGAGUAGGGCGACGGAGGAGAGGAGAGGAAUUAGGGUUUGGAGAAGCUUGGCCAUUGCUUAAUUGAUUUGGAUGUGGUGGAUGAUGGUGAUAUGUCUUAAGCUUGCACUCCUAUAUAUACUAGUGUAGUUCAUGCAUGAUAAUGUUGUUUAAUCAUCAUAUAUUUUAUUUCAUUAAAAUGAAUCACCUCGUCCAUUCGAGGUAAAUGAACCAUGUGAUCUUAUGUACUACCAGCCACAUUUUAAUUUGCUCGUUGGAAUAUUAUCUAUAGUUGUAUCUAUUGUAUUUGUAUAAAUGAUUUUUGGAAGGGAACUUAGAAAAAGUUCUUGAUAGGGGCUGUAUUUUUUAAUUUCAAGUGCAAAAUUAAGUUUUGAUAGACAAUUUACUUAUGAUUCAAUUUAACGAUCGGGUUUUCUGAAAAAAAAAAAUUCACACAAAAAAUCGAUUAUUUAAUAAUUUUAUAAGAAAAAAGAAGAAGAAGAAAUUUUCUAUUUAGGAUAUACACGAGCAGAUGAGAUCCUCUGUCCCACUAUUUUGUGUGUACCACCAUGUACCAUUCUUAAUUUAUUUAUUUUAGUAAUUAUUUUUUAUAAAAAUAAAAAUUAUUAUUAUAUUUUUUAUUUUCAUUUAAGUGAGUUACUAGAUUUAUUUGGGGUGAGCACAGGUUAUUUUGGAAAAGGAGAAUAUCUGUAAGAUGAUGUGAAAAUUAUUCAAUAUAAGCACAUAUAGGGGUUGAGUUCUCAAAGGAACUUAAUUAAUAUCCAAUGUGAUUGAUACAUUUCGACUAAAUGGAUGGACUGUGACGCCCCGACCAAAAGUAAAGAGUGAUUGUGAUCGGUGCACAAGGCAUGGAUGAAAAGCGGUUCCUAGUAAUGCUUCGAUACGGAGGAUACAUGAAUGAAUCGAAACACACCAGAAAGAGAGGGAUUCCAUGAGUACGUACGCAGGUAUAUGACUGCAUAUUCGAGGAGCUUAAAUAAUUUUAUUGGUGUUACUCAUAUCAACAAGAUGCAUCUUCUUUUUUGGUGACCAUAUGAAAUAAACUCCAAGGUUAAGCGUGCUUGGCGUAGAGCAACUUGAUGAUUGGUGACCUCCCUAAGAAGUUUAUCAGAAAGCGUGCUAGUAAGAACAAAACAUGCUAGAAAAGACUCAUAUUAGUCUGUGGGGACAGCCGUUAAAUUUGGAUUCGGGUCUUUACAAGUGGCAUUAGAGAUUAACCUCUCACAGUAUGGUGCGGUUCGGGAACGAACCAAGCGGAAGUUGGUACUCAAUAUUCCAUCUAUUGUGAGUUUCUUUGUCUUCUUCAUCUUUCUUUUACUCUGCUGUCGAGUUUCAGAGAGUAAUCAGAUAGGUUUUCAUUCGAGUUGAGUUUCUUGAGUGAUAAACUGUUAAUUGUGAGUUUCAUUCGAUCAUUUGUUGAUUAUAAAUAUCUGCACAUGGAUAUUGGUCAAUUUAGAUACACUGAUCUUCAAAUUGAUUGACGAAUCUUUAGAAUUCAAAAUUUAAAUCAAAUACGCGUGUUCAUAGUUAAUUGGUAAGUACACUUUUUUUUNAUAUAAAUAUAAUUGACUCGAGAUCUCUGCUACUUACGCAUACUUCGCUCGAGACAAAAAUAAAUAAUUGAUCAUUGAGAACUCCGCUACCACACCAUACUCGUGUACUAUUUAUCAUUGUUUAUGAUUAUUAAUAAAGACGUGUCUUUGCCUGAUAAAUUUAAUUUUCAUACUCUUGAUUCUUUUUUGGCCAUAUCAUUUUUUAAAAAAUUGGGAGGGGAAUGGUGGAAAUUGAAUAUGAAAAAUACCAGUCAAAUGAUACAUGUGCACUUUCAAAGACAAAACAUAAAUGUAACCUUCGUUUGUAAAACAUAGAAAUUCUACCAUAUAUUUGUGAUUAUUUUACCUUUAUACGAUCUAUUUAUAUAUAUUUAUUAGAAUUAAUAAAAAUAUACUACAUUCGUCCACGAAAAAGAAUCUCAUUGUGUGCUGGAUGUGAGUCGUAUCGAGAGUGAGAGGGAACACAUUGUCUCCGGUCUCUGCCGUCUUGGCGAGAUCUUCGGCAUUGGCCUGAUCCGGCCGCUGAGGUGGCCGGUAGGUCAUCCAUGGAGUAUGGCUAUAUUCAUACUCGUAUCCCAUUUUGGUUGUAGAACAAGAAGGCGGUGUUGUUGAAAUCGUCGUCGUUGAUAUCCUUUGGAAAACCGGCUGGGAUAGUUUUCGCCAUUAGAGUGAUGUGCGUAGAAGAGAGGAUCUUCCGGCGGUCUUCGCGGAAACCGUUGUCGCGUGUCCAUAGUUCAUGGAUUGAAAAUAUGCAGGUAAAGCACCCGGCGUACUCGGCCAUACAAUUAACUCGCCAUCAUGAGCUAUAAUUCUAUUCGAGUAAGUUCAAUCUCUAAUGAAUUAAUAUAUUUUUAUAAAUAUAUAAUUUGCAAAAUAACCUUAAAAUAAAAUAUGUAAUAAGGGUAAAAUAGGCAAUCCACAUGUUGUGCUCAAUGCUCUUUUUAUAUUACUAGGAGAAAGAUAAUUAAUGUUAUUUUAUCUAAUAAAAUAAAAAAUAUAAAUAUAAUAUUUAUUAUAUUUAAAUUUUUAAUUAACAAUUUUGUUUAUUUAAUUCUCUUAUCUCUUACAAUAUUUUUUUUUAGAAAAUCUAUUAGUUCAUUACUUCGACUAAAUAUAAUUUAUUGGAUAGAUAUAUUUAUUUAUAAGCCUUAUCAAUAGCUAUAGAUAUAUAUUACAUAGAUUUAAUGUAAUAUUUAAUGAAUCAAUAGCUCUUUUCUUUUAUAUUAGUAUAGAUUAUAUAGAUAGAUAUAUAUAGUGCAUGCAUGAUAAUGUUGAUUGAUCAUCGUAACUAUAUAAUUUAUUGCACUAAUAAUGAAUCACGUUCCCACUCGAGGUAUAUAAAAUGAAUCAUGUGACCUUUUCUACUACCCGACACAUUUUGCUCCUUGGAAUAUUAUUUAUAAUUGUGUCUAUUGUAUAGUGCAUGCAUGAUAAUGUUGUUUAAUCAUCAUAAAUCUUCAUGGCUCAUCCACCUCAUCCAAUCGAAGCAUAUAAUGAACCAUGUGAUCAUAUCUACUACCUGACACAUUUUGCUUCUUGGAAUGCUAGCUAUAAUUGUAUCUAUUGUGUGAAUGUAAGCAAAAGGGCGCGCACAAUUUUUUAUUUUUUUUUGGAUAGGUGACUCGCUCAAAAUACCUAUUGAAUUGACUCGUAAUCGCACGAGGUCAUUCUAGCGUAGUAAGCUAACCCAUGUCGUAUCUCACAAGGAAGAUUAAGCAGGACGACUAAUUUUGGAUUAUUUUUAAUCAAAUGUUGGAUAUUUUUUAAUUAGAGUAAAAUUAAAAUAAGUAAAUUAUUGUAUAUUUUCAGAUUCGGAAACUAAUGGCUUUAUUUUAAUUUAAUCAUUUUCAUAUGUCAGUUAUAUUAUGUAAAUGACGUUUUUAGUAACAAACAAAUGACAUUUUAAUCAAUAAAUGAUACUUUUAUCAAUAAUAAAUGAAACCAUAUUAAGGUAAAUAGGGUAAAGGUUAGACUUAACUGUGAAAGCAUCAUGAGUUUUAUGUGUAACAUUUUCGGUGUGAAAAUUGAUGAGUUAAAAAAAAUGCUCCAUAUUGAAUUCGACAUUAGAUGAAUCUACAGUAGAUUUUCAUGCAUGAUCUAAGAGCUGAAAAUGAUUCACGGUCUAUAUUUAUUCUAUCAAAUUCCAUAUCACUUUAAAUCUCAAAUUACAUUUGCACUAUAUAUGAUUAUAUCCUAAAUUAUCAUAAAUAUGAACCGCUUAAAUCUGGCGUCGUUGCACCGCGGACAUCUUGCCGCUGCUUUCUCCCACCAUUGCCCUUGCUGCCCUCAUCUUAGGUGCCAAUUUUUUGCUCGUCGUGCAGAAUUUGAAAGGGGUAAAUUAUUUUUUCAAUUUUUUAUUGCAUUUUGCUGUCUAAGUUGAUUUCUCAAGUAAAGUGGACUUGGGUUUUGUUUCGAUUAUAGCUGAAUUCGAUGGCGCUGUGUGGUUAGAUCUGUAAUUUUGACGUGUUGUUGAAGUGUGCGGGAUUGAAUGUGAUCUGGGAGAAUUUAAGGGUUUUGGGACGUUAGUAUGAUGAUGGUGGGAUUUGAAUGAAUUUGAAUACCAGAUUAUGGUUGAUGUUUAAUUAUGUGAAUCUUGCGAUCUGUGUUGAAAUUAAUGUACAGUAUCUUCGCCUAGCCGGGGGUUCACCAUUUGGUUCCCGACCGUCCUGCUGCCUUCACUCCACACUCAAGUGCCAAUAUCUUCUUCUCGUUUCUCUUCCUUCUUCUUCUCCUCUUAGUACCUGCAAGACAGAAGGAAAAACCAGCAAGUAUAAAGAAAAAUCAGAAAACUUAAAGAAGUAAAGAAAGAAAGAAAACAAAGGAAACUCGAGGUGGGAAAAAGGUGUCCUCGGGACACAGGUGGCUCAGAUUUUUCCCACAGUGGCAACACACUCCGGCAGCUCAAAGACCACGGCACAAAGGGGAAGGGAAGUCAGAUCGGAGCUCAAAUCUGACGAGCACAGCCACCAAUAAUCAGGAAUCCGGUGGACAGGAUUCCGGCGGCUCAGAAAUCCUUCGCUUUAUCACCAAACAGGAAAUCUAAGGUCAGCAAUCCGACAAUAAUGCUAUCAACAGGAGGAAGCUCUCACUUUACGGCCACAACACCGGAAACCAGAACGGAAACCAGAGAACAGAAGGAAUAGCAGAGCCUUCAAGGUUGUGAACAUACUACAGAACUUCCCCCAAUCGAUUGCUUUAUAACCGAGACAGAGAAGGGUCGGGAAGAUGUAGUGGGCUUUGGGAAGGAGGAGGAAGCCAUUAAUGGUGGUGGAGCUCGAGGGAAAGCGAGAUCAGCAGUCGUGAAGACUUAGGGUUUGGGAGGGGAUUUGAGGUGGAGCGGCGGAGGUUGAAAUGAGGGAAAGGCCGAGUGAGAGAGGGAGUAUUUCAGUGGAUAAUGGGCUAGGGUAUUUUUGAGUUAACGGGCUAUAGGUGUCUGGGCCCAAAAGUUGGGCCAGAGAAGGGAUAAAGAGCAUUGGGCCAACAUUCCACAAUUAAGACAAUUAAGAGUAGAAAUUCUUCUUGAUUUGCUAAUUUAUUUAGGAUUAGCGAUAUUAGUUUGGAGUUUUAGAUGUCGAUUGAUUUCGUGAUCUUGAUUUAUGUGAUAAAUGCCUCUCAUCACUAAGAUUUGGAAUAUAUUGGAUAUCUAGGAUAGUGAUAUUAGUUUGGAGUUUUAGAUGUUGAUGUGUCUUUUUAGGCUGCGUUUACUUUGAUGGAUAAAUUUAUAUAUGGAAAAGGAUGGAUAACACAAAUUUAUGCUUUUAAAUGUCUCCUUCCUCUUCCAACAUUUGACACAAAAAGAGAUGCUCGCUAUUUUUUCUUCCUUAUCUUCACUUCAAGGAUGGAUAAUAUUAUCCCUCCAUUUUGGUGUGAUAAUAUUAUCCAUCAUUGAAGUGAAGAUAAGGAAGGAAAAAUAGUAGAGCAUCUCUUUUUGUGUCAAAUGUUGGAAAAGGAAAGAGACAUUUAAAGGCAUGAAUUUGUGUUAUUCAUCAUUUUCCAUAGAUAAAUUUAUCCAUCAAAGUAUACGAAGCCUUAUGUGAUAAAUGCUUUUUUAGGGGGGCCCACGGGCAUGCUGCCCCAUAUGCUAUGGAGUAUGGACCAUGGUGGCUCGGUCACUGCGCUCUCGAUUGCGAAUUAUUUUGCAUUAUCUUUGUUUGUUUUUCUUAUAUUGGGAAAGAAAACAUAGAGUAAUAUAUAUUUUAGAAGUCCAGUUACCAAUGUCGUCAAUCUCGAGUGAAAAUAAAUAUUACCAUAACACAAAAAUGACAAAGCUAUUGAUUAGUGACGAUAUGUUAGAAGUUCAGAUAAACAACACAUUUAUUCUUGUGUAUAUUAUAUUAACGUUUAUUAUAUAUUAUAAAAAGAACAUAUUCUUUCAAAAUUAUCUUGUCUAUUUUUAGAAGUUCAGAUAAACAACACAUUUUCAGAAGAAAUUUAAUAAUCUCUUACGAUUUACAUAUAAUUUUUAAAUAAUUAAUUAUCUCAGUGGUGAUAAAAUAAAAAAACGAAGUAAUUUAUUAUAUACAAAAUAUUAUGAUUUAUGUUUGUAUAUUAUUUGUUUCCAUUAGUGCAUUAUCAUUUCUAAGUAUCUUCUCACUUGUUCACUGAUUCACUAUUGGAUUAACAUGAAUAUACGAAUUUCAUAGUAUACCAACCGUUCGAUAAAAGUCCUCAAAGAAAUCUUCCAUAGAUAACCUUGCAAAAGUACGUGUAUCUAUAUUAAUAGAAUAAGAGCCUAAGGAAUCUUAAAACACAAUUUUUGGAUUGCCUAUUUUACCACUAUUAUAUAUUAUUUUAAAAUUAUUUUACAUAUUAUAUAUUAAUAGGAAUAUAUUAAUUCAUUAGAUAUUACACUAAAUCUAUGUGAUAUAUUUCUAUAGCUAUUGAUAAGGCUUAUAAAUAAAUAUAUAUCCAUCUAAUAAAUUAUCUAAUAAAAGUAAUGAAUUAAUAGAUUUUUUAAAAUAAUAAAUUAUCAAAUAAAAUAACAUUAAUUACACACGUACGUUCUUUCUGCUAGCUAGUUAAAUAAAAAGAAGAAGAAACUGAGACUGAAAAAGGGAGAAUUAAGAUAGUCCAUUAUUAUCGUCUUAUUUUUAGAACUUAAACGAGAGAAAAGUCCAUCGCUAGUCCUAAUUUACAACACAACACAACACAUGAUAAUAAAUUUAAAUCACACAUAUUGCCGGAUGUACCCUUCCUCCUCUUUGCCGGCGGCGGCAUGCACGAGGGUGGACGUGAAAUACCACGAGACGAUGUCGUGCACGGCGUCUUGGCCUCCGGUGGCCGCGGAGAUCCCGACCUGAACCUGCUGAGGAAGAAUGGCGCUCAGGUCGUACACAUAGCUCACCUCGUAUGUUUGCGAGCCGGCGGCGAGGCUCACGCUGAUCAGCUUAGUGGCUUCCAGGUAGUUGAUGCGCGCAGUCACCUGCUGCCCGAGCAACGCGUUGCCGACGUUGGUCACGUUUUUGGAAACAUUAGAUUCGAUGUCGAUCCCGAUAUGGCGAUAGCUAGGAUCCACUCCGGGGUUGGAGAAGACGUCGAAUUCCACGGCGAAGACGGCGGGGCCGACGCCGGAGGAGUUGAAGAUUCCGAAGCAGCCGCCGGUGAAGCCGAGGGGUAAGCCGACGGGGGCGAUGAAGAAGGUCACGCCGUCGGCGGGGUUCGUGUCGCCUGCGUUGGGGGUUACGGCGAACGUCAGGGUGGUCUCGAAGUCGACCUGCGCGCCGGCCUCCCAGAACGUGAUCGGGGCUGAGUACACGGCCCGGCCGACGCUGUACUGGACCGCGCUGCCGGAGCUGGUGGUGUUGGUCAUGCGGAGGAAGGUGGAGUCCGACGGGAAGUGGGCGUCGCCUUGGUAGAGGAGAUCGGUCGGCUGGUCGCCCCAGAAGUCGUACGUGAAGGCUGUCGAUUGGGACUGCAUGCGCCGUGUUGGCGGCGGUGGCGAGGAGGAGGGCGAUGGAGAUUAGGGUUUGGAGAAGCUUGGCCAUGGCUUAAUUGAGUUAGUAGUAUUUGCUUUGGAUGUGGUGUGAUGAUGGUGUAUUGGUGUUAACUCUUGCUCCUAUUUAUGCUAGUAUAGUGCUUGAAUGAAAAUGUUAUUUAAAUUAACAUCAUAUUUUUUAUUACACAAAAAUGACUCACCCCAUCUUCUCGAGAUUAACUGAACUUGUGAUCUCUAAUAAUUUAUAACCUACCACAUUGUAGUUGUUGGAGUAUACUCCCUCUGUCCCGGUUUUAGCACGAGUUUUAAUAAAUUGGUUGAUUGUAUUAUGAGUAGAAUAAGGAUAAUAUUUUUUAUGGAAGUGUUAAAAUAAUUAAAAUUGAGAAAAUGUUUCACCUAUUUUUAUUAAAAAUAGAAAUGAAUUUUAAAAUAUGGGACGACGGCCAGAAAAAGAAAAUAUAUAUGGAUACUAAAAGUUGGGACGGAGUGAGUAUUAUCUAUAGUGGUAUCUAUUGUAUGAGUACAAGAGAUUUACUUGACUUGUUGAGGUAUGGAGAGAUUAUUACAAACCACGUGAAAUUGAGUUCUUGCUCCCACUGUAAAAGCAAUAAAUAUAGGGAAAAGAAAAUUAAUACUUCCUUCGUCCAAGAAAUGAGUACACAUAUUUCUUUUUUAGUCCGUUCAUGAAAUGAGUACUCAUUAAUUUUUCUUUUUAUCAAGUGUACCUCACACAACCCUUUAAUUAAUUAAUACCUUUAAAAAGUGGGUCCCUUAUUCCACUAACACCACACUCAAUCAUUUCUUAAAACCUGUAACGUCCCCAAAUGAGAUUCAUUUCGUGGAUUGAGUAAAUUCUAUACUACAAAUUAAUGGUUCGAAUUCACUUUAAAAAAUAAACUACAAUUAAGAGUCCCUCUCUUAAUUGGAAUUCAUAGACCAUCUGCUUCAGUCGUGCCCGAAGACAGAAAAGGUUUGGAUUGGAAUUCAUAGGUGGCUAGGGAAUAAAAGCAGUGUGGCCUCAAUCAUUGAAGCACACUUCGAUUUGUUCACAAAUCUUGACAAAGGAAAGGAAGGUCGAUUUUUCUAGCGACAGUAUGGGUCUAUACCAUUUGGUUGCUGUGGAAAUGACGUAACGAGAGCAGAUUUGAGGGCAAGACUUGGGAGAUCAAUGACGUGAUCGAAGAAGUGAAAGUGAGGAUGUGGAGUUGGAACAAGAUUUUUGGACUACAUGUUAAAGAGAUUAGCUCUCAAUCUUGGUUUUCUUGUGAAACUCCUCUUGUUUUGUGUAAUUUGGUCGUAUCUCUGGUACCAAACUCUCUCCUAAUAAAAUUUCUUUUCUGAUUAAAAAAAAAAAAAAGAGUCCCUCUCUUAAUCAAGUAGACUGGAUGCGGUAAGAGAGAAAUCACUUCCAACUUAUCGAUUUUACUAGCAACAACUAGAUUUAUACUGAAGCUAAAUUGGAUCAGACUCUAGGAUUCACUAGUCUUUUACUCAAGGUGAGUCGGUUUACGAGUCUCAAACUCAAGGUGAACUAGAAUGUCUGUCAAUACGAACGUUGGGAGUUCGAGGGUUUUUUAGGACAGUAACUUAGAUUGAUUUGGAAAUUAGGACAAUAACUUUCGGACUUGUAAAAAUAGGACUCUAAUUCUUUUUAAGAGUAAAAUAGGACACUAAUUAAUAAGUGUUACAUCCGCAGGACAUUUUUCGGCCAAUUAUCGGCCGAGAAAUGUCCUACUUUUACGACGCUUAUUAAUUAGUGUCCUAUUUUUACAAAUUCGAAAGUUUUGUCUUAAUUUUCAAAUCAACAUAAGUUAUUGUCCUAAAAAAUCCCCUGACUCCGAACGUUGGAACAAGCUCGGCAAUAUACUGCUAUUCAACAUUAAUGGCACUUUGCACUAAAUGAAUUGGUGUCGAAUUAAUACAUCGUCUUGCUGCUCAUAUCUAUAUAAUAAAUGCAUACCUGCACCUCGAUAUUAAUCAAUUUAGAUACACUAAAUCUCGGAUAUACUUAACAAAUGGAUUAAUAAAUGUAUAAAUUUUAGAUUUCAGAAAAUCAAAUACAGGUGUUCAUAAGGAAAUGAUUAAAAACCCGUGUGUCAUUUAGAUAAGAUUAUUAUAGUACAGUUAACGAUGGUGAAAUAUUCUUUUACAUUAGAUAUAAUAGCAUUCCAGAUCUCAAUGGCAUUUUUUGUUAUAACAAAAAAAAAUUGUAUAUGUUCCAUACUAUCCUCAAACUUCAAAUUAUUAUUUUUCUUUAUUUUAAAAUUUGUAUUGGCACAUAUCUGUCAAUUAAUCAAAUUCAUAUCAAAACAAUAAUUCGAAUGAUAUAUUAGUUGGCUAGCUAUAAAUUACAAAUUAUUAGUGAUUAGGCAUGUUUUACACAAAUUAUUAGCCCAAACAACAUUUGAUUGUGUGCAAUGCACACACUUACUAAAAGCAGAUGUGAUCAUCUGUCCCACAAUUUAGUGUGUAUCACCGUGUACCAUUCUUAAUUUGUCUAUUUUAUAAUUAUUUGUUGUAAAAAUAAAAAAAAUAUUGUUAUAUUAUGAACUCUAAUUAAAAUUUAUAACUAAAAAUAAAAAUUAAAAAAAAUUAUAUACCCUAACUUUGAAUUAAUUAACCCAAAUAAUCAAUUAUUAAUUCAAAUAAAUAUAAAAAAUAAUUAUAAACUCUAAUUGAAUGAGUGAACCCUUAUUAAUUAGUUUCUUAUUAUAUUAUAAUAAAUUAAAAUUGAAGAAAAUAUAAUUAUAUAUUAUAAUAAAUUAAGAGUGGUACACGGUGGUACACACUAAAUUGUGGGACAGAUCCAUGUGCACUAAAUUAUAGGUACGGAGGUGCGGAUGCGGGGGCGAUACGAUACGAGUACGGGGAUACGGGUUCUAAAAAAUUAUAGGGUGCGAUUCGGCAAGGAUACAUCUAAUUAUUAAAAUUUUAUGAUAUACUAAUUGUUAGAAAUGGAUAUUGGGCCAAUUCCUCCCUUAAAAGGCCUUAUAAGGGAGAGGGUUACCUCACCAUAUAAAGUGGCUCAUGCCACUAUCUCCAAUCCAAUGUGGGACACUUCAAUACUAAUGCUUAUAAAAUAUAUACAAUUUAAAUUUUCUUAAAUUAAUUAUAUGUAAUUUACAUUUUAUUUUACCCAAAAGUUAAGCAUUUUCAAUUAUAUAAGUUAAUUGAGCAACAAUAUAACGAUUCAAAUAUUAUUAGUCCAAUAUAUAAGUCAUAACUGAAAAUAAAAUUAUCAAAAUAACCUUGUGUAGGCCUUUCGUGCACGAGAUACGUGAAUUUCGCCUAUGGAAUUUGCAAAUCCGGUUUAUUUUUAUAAAUUGUUUUAAAAGAUACGCACUGGUGAAUCGGUGCGAAUCCGACAAGAAUUCGAGAAAUCACACCCUAAAAGAAUCCGAUUCGCCGUACAUCUAAUUUUUGAAGAAUCCGUGCAUCAUAGGUGAGAAGAAACACAAGAGAGUAAAAUGGUACAUAAUGUAGAAAGACUUUUCUCCAAAAUAAAUGUUACAGUCUUCUAAUAGUCGAAAGGCGCAUGAAAAUGCGCAGUUAUUCGAAAGAAAGGAAAGGCUUAUUCAGCCACACAAUGACAUGGAAUUCGAAUUGAAAUUGAAAUUCAGACAAAUCCCAAACACGGUGAUGCAGAGAUCAAGCGGUAACACGAGGAAUGAUCUUAAUACCACCGAUGGUAACUUCGUCGCCGUUAAUGUGGGGAACGAUGGUGACGACAAUGAAAUCAUCAUCAGCAAUAUUGAUGUUCUCAUAGAGCUCCCUCAAGUUCAAGCGAAGGUCGUUGGCGCUUUCCGCAGCCCUAACCCUAUGCGGAAUCUGCGUGAAACUGCCGGCGAACUCGGCCCUGGCGAGGUCCUCUGGCUUGUCGUCUUCGUCAUUCACGAACACAUCGAACCUCACGAGCUUCGAACUAUCGGUGAUUAUGUUCUCCAGCACGAGCACUUCGUCGGCUUUGCCUUUGGUUGGUUUGGGCACCAAAACCCUGUGAGUCUUGUUGAGAGUGAGAGGGAACAGAUUGUCUCCACUCUCUGCCCUCUUGGAGAGAUCUUCGAUAUUCACCGGCACCUCCCUCCGCGGUGGCCGGUAGGCUGUCCACGGAGUUUCGCUGUGUUCAUACACGUAUCCCAUUUUGGUGUGGUCCAAGCAGUCGGCCACCUUGACGCGCACGAGGUUCUUCUUCUCGUCGUAGAACAUGAACGCCGCGUUGUUGAAAUCGUCGGGGUUGGGGACGACGAGGUCGUUGAUAUCCUUGGGGAAAACGGAUGGGAUAGUUUUCCAUAUGGUCCACAUUCUGUCGACGUUAGCGUGAUGUGCGUAGAAGAGAGGGUCUCUUCCGGCGGAGUAGAAGUUCCCCAUGUCUUCGCGGAAAUCGUUGGCGGGGUUUCCGGUCCAGACGUGGACGCCGCCGUGUGAGCCGCCCUCCGACAAUCCUCCCUUGGCGCGUGGCGGGGGCAAGUCCCCGGAAACGUAAGGAUCGCCCAUGAAGUCGAUGGCGGAUUCGACAUCACCAAUCAUUUCCUUGUACAUCUGAGUGAGAUUGUUUUCGAUGAUCGUUACAGGAUCGGUGAUCGGGGGGGUGGUUAUGGCAAGAGCAACGAGGGCCGGGGGGCGAUGCGUUGGGUCGCGGUUGACGUCGUAGAGCGGGGAUUCUUCCCUGUCGAACGGCCUGGGCAUCUGCAUACCCCUAGGGUUGUCCCAGUUCCAGUAGGGCAGGGCGAAAUCGGGAUCUCCGAUGAGUUCGCCCAUGAUCCUCUCGAAGAAAUAGAGGUACCACCUGUGGAAGGGGUGGAUCCAGAAUUUGUCAUUAGGAGGGACUAAAUUUGUUGAAGCAUGACGUCUCAAAUUAUUAGCCAAUUUUUUUUAGCAUUCCAUACAGUUCAUUUUUUUGUCGAACUACAUUCGAUUAAUUCAACAACAAGAACAUUGAAAGCAUAUAAAUACUUACCUCUCAAAAAUUGUUUCAUCUUCUAAGAAGAUAAGCUAAUUUUCAUCAUGGCAGUUCAUAAUUUUAAUUUAACUUGAGGAUUGACUCAAAUUCAACACUGAGAAUCAACUAAGAAAGGAAAGUAGACAAAAAUAACAUAAAUUUAACAAACUAACAUAUCAAAUUUAAAUCACUAUAAAAUAUUAAACAGUUAAAACGUGGAUACUAUAAUUAAUAAAACAAUGUAUUUUAUUAUCUCUUGUAUUUCUUAUCUAUACUAAUAGAAAAAGAGUCUAAGACAGUCUAAGGCACAACUUGUGGAUUGCCUAUUUUACCCUUAUUAUAUAUUUAUUAUUAUAUUUACAAAAUAUAAAUCUAUUUUGAUAAAUAUUUAUUUGUCACUCAAAUCUAUAAAGAAUACUUUAUAUCUAUAGCUAUUGAUAAGGCUUAUAAAUAAAUAUAUUCAUCCACAACGUACGUUCUUUCUGCUAGUAUAUAAUAAAAACAAAAACAAAAAACUCAAAAUUUGGGAGGCGGUCGAUCCGCUGCUAACCUGUGGAAAGGGAAGAAGAUCCAUGAGUUGUGAACCUGGAUAUCGAUGCCGGGGUGGUCCACCUGGUCGUAGGGGCCGUUGCAGUAAGCGCAGUGGAUGUUGGCCUGCUGAGUGAAGCCACGGGGAUCGUCGGGGUCCGUCACGUCCAGUUCCUUCAUCUUCUGGAUGGCCAACUCAUACUUGCGUACGUAUUCCGGUGUCAGCCUGUGCGCCGCCGGCCUAACGCGAGGUUUAGUGAACCUCGGAAGCUUGUAGUCGCUCUGAACGUCGGUGUAGGGCGGGCAGCAGUUGACGUCUAGAGAUAUUACCUCUUGGUUUCGAGUGGUGUAGGCACCUUCGGGGUCGCAGGUGCUCAGGUCAGGAGGCAAAAUCGGAAGCGCCUCAGCUUUGCGGAUGGCGCUGCCUGCGCCGUAUAGACCGCCCAGCCCAAGCAGCAUGUUUCUGCGGUCUAUACGGCCGCUGCCACCGCCACCGCUGCUGCAUGACACCUGAAAGCGGCCGUGGCUCCGCCGGCUGCUGAGCUGGGAGGGCUUGCGAAAUGGGGAGUUGGUGGCGGCGGCGAUCGCCGUGAAUGAAGAUUGAAGGGAAGCCAUGUUUGAGUGAUUGAUUGAUGGUCGUUGUGAUUACCUGGGGAGGCAUGUCUUUAUAUAGCAGAUGUGACACGAGUUUUAAGAAAAAUAAAUUAUCCGUUGAAUAAUUAAAUCGCCAUGUUUCUAUAAUUUAUUCCUAAUGGAUCUAGUCAAACUAAUCGUGCAAUAUUUAAUAAACCACGCAGCAUCAUUUCCGAGACUAAUAAAUGACAUUUUGAACCAGCUAAUCAAUUCCAUAUAAUUAACCAUUUGCGAGGCUGGCUGCCCUUCACUAAAUGGUUGUAUGCACUUGUCUUUGGAAAAGCUGUUUGGCCAUAUUAUGGCCAGUCAUAAUAUGGGAAAAUAUUAUAAAAGUCAUGUAUUUAAUUUUUUAUAUUUAAAAUAAAAAUAGGAUUUUAUUAGUUUUAUUUUUUAUUACAUAUUUUAGCUAUUUUUUUUUAUAAUUUUUCUGAAUUUUUUAGAAAAAUAAAAAAUAAAAUUACAAUGUGAACAAAAUUAUAAAACUAAUAAUGGUAGAGCAGCGGAGGGCACAGGUGAAGGGCAUGGCGGCGGUGUACUUAUUUUAGUCAAGUAAUUAUUAUUGCACGAAAAAAUAAUUAUUAAUAUAAAGAAAGAUAAUGUUUCAAAGACAUUAUCUUUCUUCAUGUCUAUUAAUUUUUCAUCACAAUAAUAAUUACUUCGAAUUAUCCGUGUUUUCAAUCGUGCGACCUGCACCCAGCCCGACCCGACCCGUUUCACCCAUAUAGUCAGUCUCACCCAAGUUUUUGCCUAAAGAUAAGUAUUAAUUAGUUGUGUAUGGUGAUAUGAGUCUUGUUUGUAUAAAUUAGUAGGCCUUUAAUAAUGAAUUGGCCCAUCUCAGGUGGUUUAUAUAAUUUACUCGUAUGGAUCUAAAUACAACUAAUCAUGAAAUAUUUAAUAUACCACGGAGCAUCUUUCUGAUAUACUAUUUAUAUAGUAAUUUAUUCCUAAUGGAUCUAAUCUCUGACUAUUUAAUAAUUAACUCGCCAUCGUUUAAAUAAUUUACUCCUUAUGGAUACACUCAAAGUAAUCGUGCAAUAUUUAAUAUACCACGCAGCAUCAUUUCUCAUACAAUAUUUUGGACCAUCUAACCAAUUACAUAUAAUUAAACCUUUUGCCAGGGUGGCUGUCCCUUCCACUAUAUGGUUGCAUGUAUUGAAUUGAAAUUUUAUUGAGGAAAAAAUGAAAAGAAAAACUAGGAAUUCAUUGAUAGCACGAAGACGCUAAUUAAGGGCUGAGCCUCAUCAAAACCUUUCCGAUAAAAAUCCAGUGAAAAAAACCACCAGCAAAGGAAAAAGAGUACCAGUCUAUUACAAUAAAAAAAUGAAGAACAAACUCAAGACAGGAACAACGAGAAGCACGAGAGGAUGAUAAAACAUCUAACCCGAAAAAAAAGACCCAAACCAAAGGAGCCUGACAAAUCCGGAGCCAGUACCAGCGCACCAGGAAACUGAAAAAGUUCUGGAGAAGCCACUUCGACCCAAGCACGCCAACCAUCCAAAAGAAACGACUACCACACCCACACCUAGGCCAAGAAAUAUAUAAUAUUGUGAAUAGUUCCCAUGGGAUCGAAACAGACCACCAAAACAAGAAAAAACCUCUAAGAGCAGACUACUCAUUGCCUGCCUGCCUAGUAUUCGAUGAAAUACCCAAACCAGAAAUCAUAGCAUAAAGCAAAAACCGCCACAGCUGGGGAGCGAAGAGCAGAAGGCCACCAAUAAGAUACAUUAGGAUUGCGCAAAGUCUGACAAAGAAAUCAGAAAACUUACCAGACCACUCUAGUUAAUGUAAUCUAUACAUGUCCGCACAUGAAAUUUGGUCAAGUUAGAUACACUAAUCUCAAAUCUAUUUAAUUAACAAAUUGAUUGAUUGAUAUUUUUUUCUGAGAGAAAUUGAUUGAAUAAUUUUUAGACUUCAAAAACUAAUAGUUAAUUGAUUGUUUAGAUAAGAUUAUUAUUACACUUUUAUAUAGAGAUAAUUAGUACUUGAGAUAUGUGCAAUUUACGCAUUCUUCUCUCGAGACAAAAUAAAUAUUAUUGACCAUUGAGAACUCUGCUACCACUACUCCAGUUCUAUUUAUUAUCAGUGUGCCCUCUCGCGCGCUGCACGGGUCACAACAUAUUUGAUUAUUUAAUUUUAGCUGUUUACGCAUACUUCGCUCGAGACAAAAAUAAAAUAAGAUUUAUUGAUCAUUGAGAACUCAGUACCACACCAUACUCGUGUAUACUAUAAUAUUUAUCAUUGUUUAUGAUUAUUACGUGUCUUCGCCGAUAAAUUUAAUAUUCAUUCCUUUAAUUUUUUUCUAUUGACAUUGGAAACUGUCUUGAUUCUUUUUUGGCCAUAUCAUAUAUUUAAAAAAUUGGGAGGGGAACGUGGAAGUUGAAUCUGAAAUAAGAAUCAAAUGAUACAUGUGUACUUUCAAAGAUAAAACGCAAAAUAUAUCAUUUUUUUGUAAAACAUAUAAAUUCUACUAUUUAUGAUUAUUUUAAAUUUAUAUAAUCUAUAUUUGUAUGUAUAUAUAUUCUCCAUUUGUUCAUGAAAAAGAGUCUCAUUGUAUGCUGAAUACGAGUUUUAAUAAAAUGGUUGUAAGUGUGAAAUAAAUGUAUAAUUUGUAAGAGUCUUUACAUUAGAUUAUAUUUUACUCUCUUCGUCCUAUUGAUAAUGACUCACUUUUCUUUUUCGUCUGUCUCAUUGAUAAUUGCAUGUUCCAAAAAAACUGAAACCAUUUGACCUCACAAAAUGUUGUGGGCUCCACUACUUUUUAUCACUUUUAUCCUUUAAUUACUAUUCUUAUUAAUAACCGUGUCGAACAGUAAUGAACUAUUAUCAAUGGGAGGGAGGGAGUAAUAUUUUAAUUUUGUUUGCUGCCACCACCACCACCACCACCACAAUUUAAAAAAAAAAAUCUACGUGAAUAUAGUAAUUAUUAGAACAAAAAAAUAACUAUAAUAAUAAUAUAUUAAUCCGUUAAUUAUCUAUACUAAUAUAAAAAGUGCAUUUGGCACAAAAUAUAUAUUGCCUGUUAUAUCCCUAUUAUAGUAUUUUAUUUGAAGGACAACUUUGUAAAUUAUAUAUUAUAUAUUUAUAAGAAUAUAUUAUUUCAUUAGAUAUUACACUAAAUAUAUUUGAUAUAUAUCUAGAUCUUAUGCUAUAAUUUUUUUUAUAUUAAUUAAUUAUUAUAUAUUGUGAUUUAAUAGAAUUAUACAACUCUAAUAAUUUAUAAAUGUAAAGUUCAGGGAUUGCAUGCAAUGCACACAUUCUAUGCUAGAAAAAAAAUAGAAUUCACUAAGCCGAUGAUAAAUAACACAUACAACGUACUAUUUCUGCUAGUAAAUUAAAAAUCUAUAUGAUUUUAUCUUCUAUCACUACAUUAAUUAAAAUCUAUCUUCCGUUUCAUAUUAACGGUGGUUUUUCAAUAUUUUUUAUAUUAAUUACUACAUAUUGUGAAUUUAUUACAAUUGUUAACCUCUAACAAUUCAUUAAUAUAAAGUUGAUGGAUUGUGUGUCAUGCACAAACUCUCCUGUACUCAUCUAAAAGACUCUAUAUGUGAGAAGAAACCGCAGGAGAGUAAAAUGGUACAUAACAUAGAAUAGAAAGACUUUCACAAAAUAAAUGUUACAUUCUUCCCGUAGUCGGAAGGAGCAUGAAAAUGCGCGGUUAUUCGCAAGAAAGAAAGGCUCACUCAGCCACACAAAACAUGGAAAUCCUAAACACGGUGAUGCAGAGAUCAAGCGGUAACACGCGGGAUGAUCUUAAUACCACCGAUGGUAACAUCGUCGCCAUUAAUGUGGGGAACGAUAGUGACGACAAUGAAAUCAUCAUCAGCAAUAUUAAUGUUCUCAUAGAGUUCCUUCAGGUUCAAGUGAAGGUCGUUGGAGCUUUCCGUGGCCCUAACCCUGUGCGGAAUCUGCGUGAAGCACCCGGCGUACUCGGCCCUAUCGAGCUUCUGUGGCGUGUCGUCUGCAUCAUUCACGAACACAUCGAACCUCACGAGCUUCAAGCUAUCGCAGAUUAUGUCCUCCAGCACCAGCACUUCGUCGGCUUUGCCUUUGGUUGGUUUGGGCACCACAACCCUAUGAGGCUUAUUGAGAGUGAGAGGGAACACAUUGUCUCCGGUCUCCGCCGUCUUGGCGAGAUCUUCGGUAUUGACCGGUUCCGGCCGCUGAGGUGGCCGGCAGGUCAUCCAUGGUGUAUGGCUAUAUUCAUACUCGUAUCCCAUUUUUGUGUGGUCCAAGCAGUCGGCGACCUUAACGCGCACCAGCUUCCUCUUCUCGUUGUAGAACAUGAAGGAGGCGUUGUUGAAGUCGUCGGGGUUGGGGACGACGAGCUCGUUGAUAUCCUUCGGGAAAACGGAUGGGAUCGUUUUCCAUAUAGUCCACAUUCUGUCGACGUUAGCGUGAUGUGCGUAGAAGAGAGGGUCUCUUCCGGCGGAGUAGAAGUUCCCCAUGUCUUCGCGGAAAUUGUUGGCGGGGUUUCCGGUCCAGACAGCCGCCCUCCGACAAUCCUCCCUUGGAGCGUGGCGGGGGCAAGUCUCCGUCAACGUAAGGCUCGCCCAUGAAGUUGGUAGCGGAUUCGACAUCACCAACCAUUUCCUUGUACAGCUGAUUGAGGUUGUUGGAGAUGAUCUGUACGGGAUCGGUGAUCGGGGGGUUGGUUAGGGCAAGAGAAACGAUGGCCGGGGGCCGAUGCGUCGGGUCGCGGUUGACGUCGUAGAGUGGCGACGCGUCCCUGUCGAACAUCGAGGGCAUCUGCAUGCCCCUAGGGUUGUCCCAGUUCCAGUAGGGCAGGGCGAAAUCGAGAUCUCCGAUGAAUUCGCCCAUGAUUCUCUCGAAGAAAUAGAGGUACCACCUGUGUAGGGAUGAAUCCAGAAUUUGUCGUUAGGGGGGCUAAAUCUAAAAGUAUUUGCAGUGGGGGCUCCCGUCCGCAAGACAAUUUUUUUUAACCAUUCCGUAUAGAUUUAAUUGGCUUAACAUUAGAAAUCAGUCACUUACUAUAAAAAAUAGUUGUUCGCAUUCCAUUAAUUCAACAACAAGUACAUUUAAAGCAUAUACAAACCUACCUCUGUGCAAUUUUUUAAAAUAUUAUUUCGACUUCUAAAAGAAUAAACUAAUUUUCAUUGUUAAUUAAUAGUUCAAAAUUUUAGUUUAUCUUGAAGAUUAACUCAAAUUAAAUAUUCAAUAUUACCUAAUUAAACAAAAAUGAGACAAAAAUAACACAAAUUUUUAACAAACUAACCUAGCAAAUCACUGUAAAAUGUUAAGCAAUUCUUUCUUGUAUUUCUUCUAUAUAUUAAAAACAAAAAAAUUAGGGAGGGGGCUUCAGCCCCCGUGGAUCCGCCACUAACCUGUGGAAGGGGAAGAAGAUCCAUGAGUUGUGAACCUGGAUAUCGAUGCCGGGGUGGUCCACCUGGUCGUAGGGGCCGUUGCAGUAAGCGCAGUGGACGUUGGCCUGCUGAGUGAAGCCGCGGGGAUCGUUGGGGUCCGUCACGUCCAGAUCCUUCAUCAUCUGGAUGGCUUUCUCGUACUUGGCUAUGUAUUCCGGUGUCAGCCUGUGCGCCGCCGGCCUCCUGCGAAGCUUUGUGAACGUCGGAAGCGUGUACUCUUCCUCGUCGUCCGUGUAGGGCGGGCAGCAGUUGGCGUCUAGAGAUAUUAUCUCCCCGUUUCUAGAAGUAUAGGCACCUUUGGGAUCACACUUGCUCAGGUCAGGAGGUGAAAUCGGAACCGCCUCAGCUUUGCGGAUGAGGCCGCUUGCGCCGUAUAGACCACCCAGACCAAGCAGCAUGUUUCUGCGGUCUACACGGCCGCCGCCGCCUCCAUCACUGCUGCACGACACCUCAAAGCGGCGCCUCCGCCUGCUGGCGAGCUGGGAGGUGGUGCGGAGGUUGGGGUUGGUCGUGGUCGCCAUCACCAUGAAUGAAGAUUGAAGGGAAGCCAUGCUUGAUUGAUUGAUGCUUGCAUUGCGCUCGAGGCAUGCAUGUCUAUAUAUAGUAGGCGUGGACACGAGUUUUAAGAAAAAUAAUGAUACUUAAUGGGAUUAUUUUCGAAAAUGAAUUAGGAAGAUGUUUUGGAGACGAAAAUAGAAAAUUGACCUUUUGCCAGGCUGCCCUUUCACUAAAUGGUUGUAUGCACUUAUCUUUUUUUUAUCUAUAAAGAGGUAUUUUCUCCAUUUAAAAAACUUAUCGAGGUAAUUAUGAAGACUAUUCAUUUUUAUCGUUGUAAAGUUAAUUAAAUUAUAAAAAUUAAAGUUGAUAAAGUUCUUAUUAAACAUCAUCGCUCUUCUGUCUUUGGACGACAAAAUUAAUUAUUUCAAAUAGAUAAAGAACUUGAUUUUCCGAUAUGGCUUCUCAUACUAAUUAAAUAAUCUAAUCCUAUAAUGUAUUUCAUAUAAAGUUAUCAAAUUAACAAUAUUCUGUGUGAAUUUUUUUGCCUUGAGUGUGUGUAUAGAGGUAGUCAGGGCCGGCCCUGAGGGUGGGCGGGCAUGGGCGACGGCCCAGGGCCCCAAAAAUUUGAGGGCCCAAAAUUUUUAAUAUAUCCUAUUAAUUAUAGAUCUUAUGUAUACUAACAACAUAGUUCAUCUAUUGAUUUUGGGCCCAACAUAAUUUAUUCUCAAAUUUAGAUCUAUACUUAAUAUAGAGAGUUUUCAAUUUGAAAUCAAUUUCAAAGUAAUUUCAAAAUUGAGUGACUAUUUUGUAGUUAUAAUAUUAAUAAAAUUGAAGGUUUAUGUUUAAACUAUAUAUUUUUAUUUUUAUUUUUAUUUUCAUUUUCAUUUUCUUUAACUUCUUAUUUGUUGUUACAUUUCUUUCCAAAAUUGUGAAAUUCAAUUAAUUAUAAAAUAUUUAAUAUGCAUAUCAAAUUAAAGAUCACAAUAAGAGUUUUAAUAUGAUAUAUUUUAUGAAAAAUAUUUGAUUUAAAAUGUAAAAUUUAUGCAUGUUCAAAUAUUAAAGUUUUAUAAAUUUCUCUCACCUCUCUCAUCUUUACGAAUAAAUAUAUUUUUAAUUCUUUUAAAUUAGUAUUUUAUUUUUAAUUUUUUUAACUUAUUUUUUUGUUUUUGUAUUUCAUAAUAUCAAAUUUUAUAAUUGUGAAUUCUUUUUUUAUUUUUUUUAAUAUUCAAUUCAAAUAUAUAUAAUUAAAAUUAAUUUUUUAUUAUAUUUAUAAGUAUAAUAAUUAAAUUAGUAUUAAUUUUAUAUAAAUAGUAAAAACAAAAAAUAUUUCCCGUGCAUGAGAUGCAAAUGGUAGUUGCACCUCGCCGCCGGUAAUAUAUUUAAGUAUAUAAAUUAAUUAAUAUUAACAAGGCGCCCGGUGAUCACCGGAGGCAUCCUUGCCGCUGGUAUUUCUGCCGCUACUUUGAAAAAUACGGCCGUCGGUAAAUCUGGCCGCAAAUUGUGUACGUUUUUUGGUAGUGGUAAUAUAUUAGGGCCCAAUUUUUUAAUUUCGCCCAGGGCCUCAGUUUUGUCAGGACCGGCCCUGGAGGUAGUUAUAGAAUUUAUCUUUUGUGUUCUCAAAGGAACUUAAUUAAGAUCCAAUGUGAUUGAUACAUUUCGACUAAAUGGAUGGGCAAGAUUCUUUUAACGCCCAAUAUUAAUUCCAUCUCAAAUCGGAUCUUAUAUAAUACUGUAUUUUAUAUAUUCUAUAAUGCAUUUUAUAUAUUACGUGUCUAUUAAAUUAACAUUGAUCUUAGGAGUGAUACAAGUUUAAAAAAAAGCUAGCUGUAUAUUUGGUGAGUAGAGAAGGGAUUUCAGAAAUUAGAAAAAAUGGUGAUAGGUAGUGGAAUUAUUUUAAAAAAUGGACUAAAAAGAUGUUUCAUGAACGAACGAAAAUGGCAAAAUAGGAAGAUGAGUCGUGGUCGGAGGAAAUAUUAUAAUGCAUCGUAUCCUUUUUUGGUUCGUAUAAAGAUUUUUAUUUGAUCCUCAUCGAGAACAUGCAUAUUGCGAAUACUUAAUUUAUUUCAAUAUAUAUAUAUUAAUUUAUUGGGAGCAUAUGCUAAAUAAAUUAAAUUAAUCCGAAUCAAAAGCGCUUAAUUAUCACUACAUUACAUGCAUUAUGACAAAAAGCCUGCGGCUAAAGAUCUUCAGUUUAAGUCUAUUGUCAUAUUGUUUUUAAAAUAUUAUUUAUCCAUUCCGCAUAUGGAUUGGUCAGAUUUAGAUACACAAAUCUCAAAUGUAUUUAAUUAACAAAUUGAUUGAUAAAUUUUAGAAUUCAAAAAUUAAAUCAAUCAAAUACGCGUGUCCACAGUCAAUGGAUUGAAAAUAUGCAGGUAUCUAGAUAAGAUAUAUUAUUAUUAUUAUUACACUGUUAACUAUACUGCAGUACACUUUUAUAUAUACAGACAUAAUUAAAAUAUGCAGGUAUCUAGAUAAUAAGAUUAUUAUUACACUAUUAACUAUACUGCAGUACACUUUUAUAUAGAGAUAAUUACUAGAGAUAUGUGCUAUUACCCAUACUUCGCUCGAGACAGAAAUAAAUACGAUUGACCAUUCAAUUAAACACUACGACACCAUACUCGUGCAUGUACUAACGAUCUUAUUAUAAGUGCACCUUCCCGUGCGAUGCACAGGUCAGUAGAAUUGUAAUCGAUAUUGAUGUGAAUAUCAUCAUAUUCGAUUCGUAUUUGUGAAAAUACUCUAAUAUUUGAUUCAGCAUUCGAUUCGAUCACGAAUACUAAAUACGAUCCCAUAUUCGAUUCGAUGUUAUUUUUGAAUUAUUUGAUACAUUUUUUAAAAUUAAUUAAAUAAUUUUUUUACGAAUAUUCGAUUCGUUUUCCAUCAUAUUCAAUUCAAAACUAUUCGAUUUGAAAUUCUGAAGGAAAAAAUAUGUUAAAUAAUAUUCUAAAAAAUAUAGGAUUAUAUCCAAUAUAUUUACCUAAUAAUUAAACACACAAUAAUAAAGUGUUCAAUUCAUAUUGUUUUAUGUCCCGUGGUUUGUUUCUAGGAUUGUGGUAAUAAAGACUGAUUGGAUCAGUCUAGUACAGUUGUUGUUUGAAUUUGUAAUUUUGUGUAACGGCAUUGUCAUCUUGUUGAGAUUAAUAGGAGUUAAUUUGUUUAAUUAAUUAUUCAUGAGUUUCUUAUAAGAUACCUUCCUUCGUUCCGUAAAAAUAGUCAUAAUUUUUCAUUUUAGAACGUCCAUAAAAAAAUAGUGUUAUUCCAUUUAUAAACAAUUUAGAUCCUUACCUUUGGGAUGAGAUAAAAUGAAAUUCCAUUUUAAAUCAUAAACUAGCUAUAUAGGAAGCAUUUUCAGCUCUUGAAUUCAUCUGUUGUUCGAAUUUCAUAGGAAGCAAGUUUUUUUGACUCAUUAUUUUCACAGCGAAUUCAUCAUGUUACACAUACCCUAAAGUGAUAUAUUUACCCUAUUUGAUAACAUGAUAAGUAUAUUUGAAGCGCUCACUAUUUUAUUUGAACUUUAUUAUCGAGUUUAAACGAGUUUUGAAAUAUUGAAUUAAAUUGAAAUAUCCAUGUUGAUCGUUUAAGAAGCAAAUUUUUGGCAUGGGUUUAUAAAAAAUACAUCCUAGCCUCCAUCCCUAAUAAGUGCGGUGUGAAGGAGUGGGCAAUAGUUCUUUAAAAAUAAUUGAGAGAUGUGUAUAAAGUGGAUAAAAUGGCUUACUAGAGCUGAUUUGUUAGGCCUUACUUUCUCUCUGCCCCACUAAAAUAAGCUCAAUUCUUUUGAGAACAUAGAUUAAUAAACUUUCUUUUGAGAAGAAAAUUAAAGUGGUGGCAAAAGUAAUGUGGUCCAUACCAAUUAAGCAAUUUGAGUACAUUUUUUUUUUCACUCAAAAGGAAAACGAGCCUAUUCUAGCGGGACAUUCCAAAAUAGAAAACGAGCAUAUUCUGCUGGGACGAGGGAAUAAUAAAUUGUUUGUGAGAUGAGUAGUUUGUAAAUAUUGUGUGUGAAAGGUGUAUGUCUUAAAUUGAAAAGACCAUACCUGUAUUGUGAUUGUACGGAAAGGUGGAACUGAGCAUCGCGGCGGCGGCGAGGCAGGAGGCGGCGGUGGUGAGGAGAAUCGAGAGAGAGAGAGAAAGAUGCCAGCAGACAGUGACGGAGGGCAGUGGGCGGCCCUUGGCGGCAGCGGAGACGACAAGGUACUGGCUGUGCCAGAAUUAUUUAGUUGCAUAGGAUCCUUCCAAAUGUAAUUACUGAUUCACUGUUGGAUUAACAAGAAUUAAAUUACUUCAUAAUACAGUAUUCCAACUGUUCGAUAAAAGCCCUUAAUGAAAUCUUCCAUAGAUUACUUUGCAAAGUUCAUAAAAUUACUCAAAAGCAUUGUUGCAUAGUCCGUACAUAGAGAUGGUCGAUUAUCUUAAUUAUGUCUAGAUUUAUUUACGACACACACACACACACAUCACAAAAUCACACAUACUGACUAAUAAGGUUCCCGAAAGCCGGCAUUAUUAGGCGCCAUGGUGGCCGUGAAAUACCAUGAGACGAUAUCAUGGGUGGUGGGUCCGUCUAGUCUGGUGGCGGCGGAGAGCCCUACCUGAACCUGCUAAGGAAGAAAGCCGCUCAAAUCAUACUCAUAGCUGACUUCAAACGUCUUCGAGCCGGCGGUGGCACGGACGGCGAUCUACUUUGUGGAGGCGGCGUAGUUGAUCCUCGCCGUCACCUGCUGCUCGAGUAUGGAGCCGUCGACCUCCGUCGUGUUUCGGGAUGACCUAGACCCGAUGUCGAUGCCGAUGUGGGGAUAGUUCGGAUCCCACGCGCUGUUGACGUAGGUGUCGAACUCGACGGCAAAUACCGAGGGGUUGCUGCCGGAGGAGCCGAAGAUUCCGAGGUUGGCCCCGCUGGAGCCGGUGGGGAUGGUGGAGCGGCGAGAUUGGUGAUGCUGGGUGUGGUGAUGAAGUUUACGGUGGUUUCAAAGUCGACUUGGCCACCGGCUUGGGAGAAUUGGACCGGGUUCGUGUACAAGACCCGGCCGACACUACCGAUCUGCGGUCGCCUUGGUAGGUGAGGUCGGUCGGCUGGUUGUCCCAGAAGUUAUAGGCGAAGGCCGUUGAUCGGGACUUCGCCCUGUUGGUGGCGACGGCGAGAAGAAGGGCGAUGGAGAUUAGGGUUUGGAGAAGGUUGGCCAUGGCUUAGUUGUGCAGUGAAUGAUGUCUACUACUUGCUCCUAUUUAUAAUGAUCGAAAAUAUCUACUACUUACCUACCACAGAUCCACAUCAGGGGCCCUGGAUGGGGUGGUCGACUACAUAAGCCCAAAAAAAUAAGGGCUCGGAAAAUAUAUAGAUCCAUGUAAGUAUUAUAUAUAUGUAUAAAAUAAUUAAAAGCCAACUAAUGAUUGAAUUGAUUAACUUGGCGCAGUGGAAAAAGGACAUUUUUAAUUCCUCUUAAUUACCAAUAUUUUAUUUAGUGACCAAUUUUUUUGUUUAGAUAUAGGGCCCAGCCCCUAUUUUGAUAAAUUAAGUGUAUGUAUUUCAAAUUAACAUUAUUUUAAGUUGUCGAAUUUUUUUGUUAAGAUUUAGGGUCCAGCCCCUAUUUUGUUAAAUUAACUUUAUUUUAAGUGAAUGACAUAAUUAUUAAUAUAUUUAUUAAUUAUUAUGUAAUUUGAUAAAAAAAUGUUUUAAAUAAUUUUAGUUUAUAAUUAAUUUAUUUCUCAAUUAUAAAUAAAUGGCCUAAAUUAAAAAAUUCGCAAAGGGCCUAUGUUCUCUUAGCCCUACCCUUGCACUGUUGCACAUGGUAUAUAUAUCUAUUCUAUGAAUAUAAGUGAUUAUUUUAUAAACCACGUGAAAGCACUUGUUCCCACUAGCACUAUAAAAGCAAUAAAUACAACGGAAAGAAAAUAAAUUACAAUUGAAUACAUUAGGAGAAAAAUUACUUCUAACCUAUGGAAUUACUAACAACGAUACUUAUACCAAAGCUAAAUUGGACCAACUAACUGUACACUCUUGUAUUAUAUCAACCUACCAGACCUUAGUAUUCACGAGUCUCCCACAGUCUAGACUGAUUCACAAUAUAUACCAACAUUGGAACAAGUUCAGUAAUACACUCUAUUUAUAUAUAUUAUUAUAUACACAAAAAUGCAUGGCUGCUGUGGUAUUACGGAAGGAUCGAGAAUUACUCGAUCCUUGGGAAAAGGUUCAAAUGAAACCUUUAUUAUUACUCUCCGUCCCCCAAAUAAUAUCAUAUCCGAUUUGGGAUAUUACCCCACCACUAAUAAUACUUUAUUUAUUCUAACUUCUCAAUCUUUCACCAUUCUCAAUACUAAUUAUAACACAUUUUCAUCACUUUCAAUACUAAUUAUAAUUUCUUUUCUCCACUGCUAAUACGUACACUUAACAAUUUUUCCUUAAAACCAGUGUCGUCCCCUACUAAGAAGUUAUUUGGGGGACGUAGGGAGUAUUUUUUAAUGAUAUGGCAUCCAAAUAUGUUGUGACAAUCCAGUGAGCAAUAUCAACUUUUUGGAGCUGAAAACCGAUGUGAGGUACAACUAAUACACAAUAUGUUGUGGCAAUCCAGUAAUAUACCCUAAGGAUGCGUCAUCUUUUGUUGUAAAUUUAUCAUGGAAAAAUGAGGGAUAAACAAAAUUUCACCCAUUAAAUCCUUCAUUUUUUCCCUCAUUUCUUACAAAAUAGAAUUUGACCCUUACUCAUUUCUCAUUUUCACUGCAAAGGGGGGCUAAUAUUAUCUCUCUAUUUUUGGUAUAAUGAAGAAUUUGAUACGUAAUUACAAUUAAUUAUAAUGAAGUGUGUAUUUUAGUUGCUCAUAUUCUUGGAUUAUUUAUGCUUUAAUGAAACGAUCCACUGCCUUUAACAUUUUGGCAUUUUAAAGUAAACGCCGAAAUGCAACGAUCCACUGCCUUUUAAGUAAACACCCUUGCUAACCCCUGCAUGCGUUUUUUCAUCAAACACUUGGGUUCAUUCUUUUAGGCAUUUUAUCAAACAGUUGUGCUCAGCCUCAUCCUUUUGAUCACAUUCCCAUAUCUCUCCUUAUAUGAAACCGCAUUUUCUAUUUCUCAUAUAUUUCCUAUAUAAUAUUUCCAUCAUUUCUAGCUCAACAAUAAUUCUUCUAGCAAAAUUAUCAUUUCAAAUGCACUCUUUUCCUUUUCUACUUUCUCUUCUGCAUAACAGAAAUACUAAUCCACCAUAAAAUAAUCAUAACUUUUUCUUAAUGAUACGAUGAGGGCACAAAGUUGAGAUGAUAAAAUCAUACAUAUUGGCGAAUGUUGCCGCCGGCUUCCUCUGACUUUUGGAUGCUGAGGGGAGGGGUGGCGGUGAAAUACCAGGAGUUGAUGAUGAAUUUGAUGGUUGUUUCCAUGUCCACCUGCCGCAGAGACCGAGAUACGAUUUUAGAAACAAACGGCAAAAUUACAAUUUCACAUAUAAAAAAUAAAAGACAAUUAAUAAAGCGCAUAAUAUUGGUAAGAUGCUUCCAACCAAUAGGUCGGGAUUGUAUAUCGUGUGAGUGUGUUUUUCAUUUUUUAGUAAUAACAUGUCGUGCUCGGGGCUUUUUUCCGUAUCUGCCCCUGCUUCCCGUCGUCGUGCCCGACUCGUCGGUUUUUGUCAUGCGGAGGUAGGUGGUGGCGUCGGUGAAGUUGGCGUCGCCUUCCAAGCGUAGGCCUUCCGAAUGUGGCGGCUUUUGGUAGAAGUCGUAGGUGAAGGAGACUGCAUCGCCGACCGACACGGUGGCGAGGAGGAGGGCGAUGGAGGAGAGGAGAGGAAUUAAGGUUUGGAGAAGGUUGGCCAAUUUGAUUAAAUGUAUUUGGAUGUAGUGGAUGAUGGUGUAUCGAUCUCUUGCUCCUAUUUAUAGUUGUAAAUAUAUAUUAAUAAUGGUAUCAUUCAAUCAUUAUACUUUAGGCCGGCCGGGCCGGAUCCUCUAUUCCAAAUUCUAUGUCUCAUUGUUCAUAUUCACUAUUAAUUUCACUAUUUCAAUAAUUAAAAAAAUUCAUAGAGUUUGGGGCAGAGGAUCCCGUUUGAAUCCCACAUGGAUCCUCUGUCCCAUAACUUAUUGUGUUCCUUCCCAUUAUUAAUCUCGAUAUUAUAUUUCUACUUUGGAGUUAAUUCAUUAUAAACCCAUGAAAGAUCAGACGAAAUUCAUCCAAUAAACAUUUAUAAAUUUAUAUUUAAAUUUUGUUUCGCGGGUAUCUGAUAGAUAAUAGGUAUUCGUGGGUGGCGAAUUUGGGUAGCAUUUGAUAUUCAUAGAUAGUUUCAUGAUUAAAAUCCAAUAUUCAUUUAGUUCACGGGUAUGGUAUGACAGCCACUAUCUGUGUACGUCAUACCUGAUUGCCAGUAUGACAAAUAUAAAAGUUGUGAGAUGCACAGCAGCUUAAUUAUUCAAAUAGAAAUAUCAUCACAUGUGCAUUGAUAUUUCACAAAAUAAAUACUACUACUAAUAAAUACUCCCUCCGUCCACCAAAGAUAUGCCACUUUACUUUCGGUACGAGUUUUAAUAAAAUGUGAGUGAAGUUGGUAGUGGAGUAAGGGUCCCACUUUAAAUGUGAGUGGAAUGGUAUGGACCUUACUACUAAAAAUGGAUGUGGCAUAUUUUUCGUGGACGAACGAGAAAGAAAAUUGUGGCAUAUCUUUGGUGGACGGAGGGAGUAGUACUCAUUGAUAAUGCAUGCCAACACAUGGUUCUUGCAAGUCAUAUAUAUACCUCAUCAGCAAUAUAGUAAAAUGAUGAUUUGACAACCAGAUUAAGACACCAAUUAUUCUUGUCGGGACACAGACAUAUAUGCAUAUAGAAUUAAUAUUAUUUACUAUUUCGUUUAUACACGUGAAUUAUGCUUUGGAUGCAACAUCGCCACGUCUCUUUCAUUUAUACUUCUCUAGUGUAUUGCGGACAAAAUAGUUAGUGUCUUUAAGAAAUUAAAAAUUUUCAAAUACAUAAGAAAGAAUAAUUAAUCUAAUUGGUGCGCCGGCAACUAAAACUUUUUUCAAUUCACUUUAUAUUUUAUAUACUCCCUCCGUCCACGAUUUAAUGCCCCAUUUUAGUGUGGGCACGGAGACUAAGAAAACUGAAAAAGGUGAUGUGAAUGAAAUAUAAGGGUAGUUGACUAAAGUGAUAAAGAUGCUGUGAGUGGGUUCACUAGUGAUAAAGUAUAGGAAAUAUAGAAUAUAAAAAUGAUAAAGGUGUUUUAAGUUGGGUCCAUUAGUGGCAAAGAGUAAUAAAUAUAGAAAAAGAAGAGUAAAAAAGUACAAAAAGCAUAAUAGGGCUUUAAUUUGUGGACAAAAAAUUAAGAGCAAGUAGGGCUUUAAAUUGUGGACGGAGGGAGUAUUUAACAUUACAAGUCAAUUGCUUGCAGAAUUUGAGCUUGUCUCCCGUGAUGGAGACCUCACCAUGCGGCAACCCGUGCCUGCGCCUGCCUUUUUUCUUCCCGUCUUGCUCUAUCCAGAUAUUAUACGUGAUCCAACUCUUUCCAGAUAUUAUACGUAAAUGAUAAUUUUACUAACAAAAAUUACACUUUUUAUCAAUAACAAAUGAAACUAUGCAUACAAAACAGGAGGUAAAUGAUAUUUUUCUUAAUAACAACUGAUACUUUUUCAAUGCAAAUAAUACUUCGCAAAUGAUAUUUUAAUAUAAAAGUAAAUGAUACUUUGUAUAAAAAUAAAUGUUAUAUUACAAAUGACACUUUUAAUGCAUACCAAUGACACUUUUAAUAACAAAAAUUGAGAAAAAAAAAUUAGAAUUCGGCCUUAAUUAAAAUUUGGACAACAUUUAUUUGGGCAAAGAAGAAAAACACCUGAAUUUUUUUUUUUCCUUUUUUGAGAGAGAAAAACUCAUGAAAUUUCAUGCAAAAGGUAAUGCAUAGCCAACCGGGCUCAAUCAUCUUUCGGCGGUUUUGGUUUGAUUCUUCCAACAUCUAGGGUAGCAUUCACACAAAAUCAACUCGUGUUCAAAAAUCUGAAAUUAAAAUUAACGAUGUGUCUCAGUAUAGAGAUAAGAACAUACCCCUCAAAUGGUUCGAGCCAAGGUCUAAUUCCUUCAGCAGUGUGAUAUUCCAAAUUUGAGUAGGCAUAUAUCCGCCAAAGUUGUUGUCUGACAAGCGAAUACUCUCAAGUUGUGGACAUUGGUACAAACUCGAUGGUAUAUCUCCUUCCAAAUUGUUAAAGGAUAGGUUCACUAGUUUAAGUCUUUGAAGGUUAUUGUACGUGCNUAGACAACAAGAAAUAUCUAUUGUCUAUUCUAUGACAAAAAAAUUAAAAAAUUCUAAUAUAUCUGCAUCCCUGUAUUACAAUACCAAUAUAUAUGAAAAAAUAAAAAUAAUUAAAAAUCAAAUAAUCAAACAAUACUUAUAAACCACUAAUACUCACAAUCAAAUAUUUACACAUCAGUGUAAAUAUUGGGUUCGAGUCCUCUGCGUGUGUUGAUCAAGCGGUAAGGGGUUAAUGCCUAAGGUCAAAGGUCUGGGAUUCGAGUCCCCUGUGGUGUAGCCUUUUAAUUUCGUUAUUUAAUAUUGUAAAUUUAUAAAAAAAAAAAAGUAUAUUUACACAUCAACAAUUGUAUUAUCUUUAAUACGCCUUCAUUCAUCUAAUAAAAAAAAUCUCUAAUAAAAUCUCCAACUAACUCCGGUCAUGAUCAUCUCUUGAAGGCGGAGGAAGGUGGAGUCCGUCGGGAAAUGGGUACUGCCUUGAUAGAUGAGAUCUUUCGGCUGGUCGCCCCAGAAGUCGUAGGUGAAGGACGUCGUUUGGGACAACGCCGUGUUGGAAACGGAGAGGAGGAGGACGAUGGAGGAGAGGAGAGGAGUUAAGGUUUGAAGAAGCUGGUUGGCCAUGGCUUAAUUGAUUUAGAUUUAGAGAUGUGGUGGAUGAUGGUGGUAUCGAUCUCUUGCACCUAUUUAUACUAGUAUGGUUCAUGCCUGUUAAUAAUUGUAUAUAUCAAUCAUCGUGCAUCUAUCCCAAAUUAUAUGUCUUAUUAUUCACUAAUUAGAUGGAUUAAAUCCUGAUUAGUAACCAUAAAAUUAAACUGUCAAUGAGGCCUUGCUCUAGUGGCAAAGCUGUGACACCGAAUAACUUUUCUUUGUGAAAUGUCUUGGGUUCAAUCUCGCCUGCAUGCGGUGAUGUGUGUCCAUUUUAGGUGGUGUGGUAUUCUUGUCUGCGUGCGGUGUUGUAUUGUUUAGUGUUGAGGUCCCACAUGCAGAGCGUUCUUGCCUGUGUACGUGUCACAGCCCAAAACCAUUUAUUUUCUUUACAAAUUUUAUAUAUGAAAAUUAUUUAAUUUUUAAGUUAUAGAGUUUUUGAAAUAUAUAUAGUAUCAAUUUUAUGUUAACUUAGUCGUGUCCCUAAUUAAAAGAAUGACUUUAAAAUAAAACUUAAGCCUUAAAAAUUUAAUCUACAUUCAUAUAUAACUGAAAUUACAUGCAUGUCUAAAUAUUAUUUAUAAUUAUCAAUAACAAGAUUAAUGAUUCUAUAUCUCUAUGUUUAUACAUGUAUUCACGUAUGACAUAGUAUAUAUUAGCUAUUAAGUUAAAAACUAAUAAAAUACUACACUUUUGCAUAGGAUAUAUAUUUAAUUAGUAGUAGGAUAGGACACGUGUAUUAAUUUUAAGGGCAAGUAAUCAAACUUUUGAAUGAUUCAUCAUGCUUAAAAAAAAAAGAGACCUAGAUAGAUGAUUCAUCAGAUUCAAAAACAAGUAUAAAUAGACUUCGGGUUUGAAAUUUUAAUUAAUUUGCAACAACAAUUCAAACUGACUGUAUUAAGGUAAGUAGUUACAGAUUUCAUACACAUAUUAUAUGAUUUCGCACACAUAUUAAGGUAAGUAUAUAUAAAUAUUUUUUAAAAUCAUAUAUUAUAUAAUAAUUAUAUUUAAGUUUUAUAUUAUUCUUUAUAAACUAUUGUUUCAUUCUAUAUAAUUAGGUGUGGCACGACUAGGACGUAACUUUCUAUUGAAUUUCUCAAGUUAAUCUUAGAGUUCAAGUUUCAGGUGUGAGAUUUAUUUAAAUACAUGUCGUACGUGGUUAUUUAUUGUCCAUUUUAAUAAGAUGUGUUUACCAUAUGUGUUAUGACGCAUAUUUUUAGGAUAUCACUAGGUGCCCAUAAAUAGGAUCCAGGACUUCACCGUCCUUGGAUUGCCACAAUGCGAUUUGAGGUUUAUUUUGAGGAUGUCGUUAGGGGCCCGUACAUAGGGUCCAGGACUUUAAUAGUCAUUGGGUUGCCAUAGUGCAAAUAUUGAGGAUAUAUAUGAAGUGACCGUAUGUGUUACCGUUUCAUUAACGUGGACAAUGAUUGCAUGUUUAAGAGACAAUAACCAAUUUUUCAGACAUUUGUGAACAAAAUGAAGCAUGUUUAGAGAUCCUUAAUACAGGUGUACGAAAUGAUGGAUAAAUAAGUUUGUGAAACAAAUUUCACCAUACCUAACCCCACAAUUAUUUGCGGUCGAAUUUCCUCGUCACAGGAAAAAGAGAUGAUGACAAAAGGGAAAAAAUUAAUUAACAAAGUAGAAGAUGCAUGACAACUGUAAAAGAAAAAUAAUGCUACUAAUUAAAUAGUCCAAACUUCAUACGUUUCAUAUCAUAAGUGGCAGUUCUAUUUUUUUUUUUGCGAAUGUGAACAAAAUAACGAAUAAUUUUUAAAGUAAUAGUAAUAAGGAGAUGUGUUUUGACAGAAAACGACAUGAGCGGCCUAAAAAUAAGAGGGAAAAAGAUAAUCAUAUAAAUAUUCAAAAUCAAACGGAUUGGCAUGUAUUCAUCAUUUUUUAUUUUUUAUUUUGAUAAUUUAACAGUACUCCCUCCGUCCGUCAAAAGUAGACCACUUUGGUUGGGCACGGGAUUUAAUAAAAUUAGUGAUGAUUUUGAUGUAGUAGAGAAAGAGUUCCACCACUUUAUGAGAUGUGUGGUUGAGAUUGAAUUUGUUGUGAUUUUUUUGUAAAUAAAGAGUGUUUGUAAGGAUAAAAGAUUAAAGUGGGUGGUGGGACCAUUUCCAUAAAAGGAAAGUGGUCUACUAUUUGCGGACGCCCAAUAUAGUAAAAGUAGUCUACUUUUGGCGGACGGGGAGAGUAUUAAAUAAAUAAAUUUAAAGGUUGCACCCCUUACUGCUUGGCUUUUAGAUUAUGUUAUAAUAAUAAAAUUAACAGCACGUUUACAAUAUAAAAUUAAUUAUGAUAAAUACAAUAUAUUAAUAAUAAAUACUCAAUUACCUCUUAACAUAAUUCGCGCAUCAUGGCUUUUAGCUUAUAUUAUAAAGAUAUAAUAUGUUGUCUAUAAUAAUCGACGGAAGGUAAUAGACAACAUGUUUUAUAUGUUGUCUAUAAUAAUAUAGACAGUAGAUCUAGUGUUAUAGAUAACAAUUAAUACUUGUUGUCUAUAUGAUGAUAGACACCAAAAAUCUCUGUUGUCUAUUCUAUGACAAAAAAAUUUAAAAAAAUUCUAAUAUAUUUACAUCCCUGUAUUACAAUACCAAUAUAUAUGAAAAAAUAAAAAUAAUUAAAAAUCAAAUAAUCAAACAAUACUUAUAAACCACUAAUACUCACAAUCAAAUAUUUACACAUCAACAACUGUAUUAUCUUUAAUUACGCCUUCAUUUAUCUAUUAAAAAAAAUCUCUAAUAAAAUCUCUAACUAACUCCGGUCAUCAUCUCUUGAAGGCUUAGAAAAUGUCCAAAUACAGCGGCACAUGCUCAUUAUUGUGUGAGCGAUGAGAACUUUGCGCUGAACCUAUAAAGUAACUAUACUUAACUGGUAAAGUAAUUGUAUCCCGUGAAUCUAAAGGAAGACUACACACGUUGAUAGAGUUUGAAAGAAAAGAAUAAAGAGAAUGAAAAUCCAAAGAAUUUGCUUCUUCCGUUGAACAAUCCCUACACAACAUUGAAAUAUCAAUGAAAAUAAUGGCUAUCGUAUACUCCCUCCAUCCAUGAAAGAACUUCAUAGGAGGGAGUGACACGGGUUUUAAGAAAAAAUAUUGUUAAGUGUAUUGAGAGUGGAUAAAAGGUAGUUGAGUGUAUUGGGAGUGGUGAAAAUGUGUUAUAGUUAAUAUUGAGAGUUGUGAAAAGUGAAAAGUAAGAGGAUUAUAAGUGGUGGGGUAUAGUCCAAAAAUAGGUAGGAAGUUCUUUUGUGGACGUCCCAAAAAGGAAAGAUAUGAAGUUCUUUCGUGGACGGAGGGAGUAUUAUUUUGCAGCAGCAACCACGUUUGAAAACUCGAUCCCUCUGUUCUUGAAUUUGUGAAAUUUCCGACUGAUUUAUUAGAUUCACCAUUUAUUUCAGUUUAAUUAGUCUAUAUAUAGAUAUUUCUUAUAUUAUUAAAUUGUUAACCUCAUGGUAGAUUUCAAGAUUUGAAAAUUCAACAAAGAGCUUGAGAAUUAUUGAGAUUGGAAGGGGAAGAUGAAACAUAAUUGGGUGAAAUUAGAAACCAAUUAAAGUCACAAGAUUGAACAAAAACAUAACUUAAAAACACAAAAUAAGCAAAUCGUAGAUGCAGUAUCUUGCAAGAAAAAGUUCAUAUUCCCAAGGCUAUGAUGAGCACGAAUUAGGGUGUGUCUGCAUUUUAUCCCUCUAAAUAGAGGAAUAACAAAAUUUUAUUCUUUAAAUGUUUGCUUUCUUAUCACACAUUCUACACAAACACCAUUUUUUCUUCCUUAUUUUCACUUCAAGGAGGANUAAUAUUAUCCCUCCAAUUUUGGUGUGAUAAUAUUAUCUCUUCUUGAAGUGAAAAUAAGGAAGAAAAAAUGGUAUUUGUGUAGGAUGUGGGAUAAGAAAGCAAACAUUUAAAGGUAUAAAUUUUUGUUAUUCCUCAUUUAGAGGAAUAAAAAGCAAACACACAUUAGAGUCUACUUACAAUUUAGGCGCAGGCUGUGCGAGAAUUACUUAGUCGAAUAGGAUCCUAAGUAUUUAUAUUUCUCAUGUUCUUGUGUAUUUUUUUACUGAUUCACUAUUGGAUUAACAAGAAUUAUCUUACUUUAAAUUUCUUGCUUUAAAAAAAAAAAAGAAUUAUCUUACUUCAUGUAUGGUAUGCCAACUGUUCGAUAAAGGUCCUUUUAGAAAUCUUCUAUUGAUUACCUUGCGAAGACCACAAAACUAGACACACCCAAAAGCAUUCUUGCAUAGUUUAUACAUAGAGAUGGCCGAUUGAUGAUCGUCUUAUUUGUAGACUUAACGCGAGCAGACUCGAUCGCUUAGUCCUUAUUGAUUUACGACACACAUGCUCACACACACACAUACACACAUCACAAAAUCACACAAAUUGACGGAUAAUGUUGCCGUUCAGCUCCUUCCUGAACCUCACCGCGGCAUUUUUCUGCACCAUAGUGGCCGUGAAAUACCACGAGACGAUGUCAUGGACGGCGACGUGUUGUCCGGUGGCGGCGGAUAGCCCGACCUGAACCUGCUGAGGAACAAAGUCGCUCAAAUCGUACUCAUAGUUGACAUCAAAUGUCUGCGAGCCGGCGGUGACUUUCACGGAGAUCAUCCUUGUGGCUCCGACGUAGUUGAUCCGCGCAGUCACCUGCUGCCCGAGUAUGGAGUUGUCGACCUUCGUCGUGUUGCUGGAUGCCCUAGAGCCGAAGUCGAUGCCGAUGUGGGGAUAGAGCGGAUCCCACGCGCCGUUGACGUAGGUGUCGAUUUCGACGGCGAAGACCGAGGGGCUGUUGCCGUUGGAGCCAAAGAUUCCGAGGUUGGCUCCGUUGGAGCCAGGGGGGAUGGUGGAACCGACGGGGGCAAUGAAGAAGGCGAGGCCGUCGGCAGGCUCGUUGUCGGCGCCCGGGGUGAUGAUGAAGUUCACAGUGGUUUCGAAGUCGACCUGCCCACCGGACUGCGAGAAUUGGACCGGGUUCGAGUGCAAGACGCGGCCGACUUGUGAGGGCUGUGCGUCUGUGAGGCGGAGGAAGGUGGAGUCCGUCGGGAAAUGGGCGCUGCCUUGAUAGAUGAGAUCUUUCGGCUGGUCGCCCCAGAAGUCGUAGGUGAAGGACGUCGUUUGGGACAACGCCGUGUUGGAAACGGCGAGGAGGAGGGCGAUGGAGGCGAGGAGAGGAGUUAAGGUUUGAACAAGCUGGUUGGCCAUGGCUUAAUUGAUUUAGAUUUAGAUUUAGAGAUGUGGUGGAUGAUGGUGGCCAGGUAUCGAUCUCUUGCACCUAUUUAUACUAGUAUGGUUCAUGCCUGUUAAUAAUUGUAUAUAUCAAUCAAUCAUCGUGCAUCUAUCCCAAAUUAUAUGUCUUAUUAUUCACUAAUUAGAUGGAAUAAAUCCUAAUUAGCAAUCUUAAAAUUACACCGCCAAUGAGGCCUUGCUCUAGUGGUAAAGCUGUGGCACCGAAUAACUUUUCUUUGUGAAAGGUCUUGGGUUCAAUCUCGCCUGCAUGCGGUGAUGUUUGUCCAUUUUAGAUGGUGUGGUAUUCUUGCCUGCGUGCGGUGUUGUAUUAUUUAGUCUUAGGCGUUCUUGCCUGUGUGCAUAUCACUGUGUGACAAUUAAAAGAAUGACUUUAAAAUAAAAGUUAAGCCUUAAAAAUUUAAUCUACAUUCAUAUAUAACUGAAAUUACAUGCAUGUCUAAUUUUUUUAAUAUCAUAACAAGAUAAGAUUUAUUAAAUAAUUCAGAUGCAUAAAUAAAAAGUUAAUCUAUAAACACAGUAUAGAUAUAUUAUCAAUGAUAGGCCGUGUAUAAGUCUUAAUCUGUAAAACUAUAUCAUCCCAGCCUUAAACGACUACCAUUCCUGCUUUCCCAGAGCAACCACACUGUUCCCACCCACAAAGCUUUAAGCAGUACAUGCAUGUCUAAAUAUUAUUUAUAAUUAUCAAUAACAAGAUUAAUGAUUCUAUAUCUCUAUGUUUAUACAUAUAUUCACGUAUGACAUAGUAUAUAUUAGCUAUUAAGUUAAAAACUAAUAAAAUACUACAGUUUUGCAUAGGAUAUAUAUUUAAUUAGUAGUAGGAUAGGACACGUGUAUUAAUUUUAAGGGCAAGUAAUCAAACUUUUGAAUGAUUCAUCAUGCUUAAAAAAAAAAAGAGACCUAGAUAGAUGAUUCAUCAGAUUCAAAAACAAGUAUAAAUAGACUUCGAGUUUGAAAUUUUAAUUAAUUUGCAACAACAAUUCAAACUGACUGUAUUAAGGUAAGUAGUUACAGAUUUCAUACACAUUAUAUGAUUUCGCGCACAUACGUAUGUAUAUAUAAAUAUUUUUUAAAAUCAUAUACUCCCUCCGUCCCCAAAAUAAGUUCCUCUUUGGGGACGGCACGGAUUUUAAGGAAAAGUGGUAAAGUGUAUUAAUAGUGGAGAAAAAUAUGUUAUAAUUAGUAUUGGAAGUUGUGAAAAGGUGAAAAAGUGUUAUAAUUAGUAUUGGGAGUGGUGAAAAAGUGAAAAGUAAGAAUAAAUAAAGUAUUAUUAGUGGUGGGGUAGUUGUCCAAAAAUGGAAAAAAAGAAAGAGGAACUUAUUUGGGGGACAUCCCAAAAUGGAAAAAGAGGAACUUAUUUCAGGGACGGAGGGAGUAUUAUAUAAUAAUUAUAUUUAAGUUUUAUAUUAUUCUUUAUAAACUAUUGUUCCAUUCUAUAUAAUUAGGUGUGGCACGACUAGGACGUAACUUUCGAUUGAAUUUCUCAAGUUAAUUUUCAAGUUCAAGUUUCAGGUGUGAGAUUUAUUUAAAUACAUGUCAUGAUUAUUCAUUGUCCAUUUUAAUAGUAUGUGUUUACCAUAUGUGUUAUGACGCAUAUUUUGAGGACAUCGCUAGGAGCCCAUAAAUAGGGUCCAGGACUUCACCGUCCUUGGAUUGCCACAAUGCGAUUUGAGGUUUAUUUUGAGGAUGUCGUCAGGGGCCCGUAAAUAGGGUCCAGGACUUUAAUAGUCAUUGGGUUGCCACAGUGCGAAUAUUGAAGAUAUAUAUGAAGUGACCGUAUGUGUUACCGUUUCAUUAACGUGGACAAUGAUUGCAUGUUUAAGAGACAAUAACCAAUUUUUCAGACAUUUGUGAACAAAAUGAAGCAUGUUUAGAGAUCCUUAAUAAAGGUGUACGAAAUGAUGGAUAAAUAAGUUUGUGAAACAAAUUUCACCAUACCUAACCCCACAAUUAUUUGCGGUCGAAUUUCCUCGUCACAGGAAAAAGAGAUGAUGACAAAAGGGCAAAAAUUAAUUAACAAAGUAGAAGAUGCAUGACAACUGUAAAAGAAAAAUAAUGCUACUAAUUAAAUAGUCCAAACUUCAUACGUUUCAUAUCAUAAGUGGCAGUUCUAUUUUUUUUUUGCGAAAGUGAACAAAAUAACGAAUAAUUUUUAAAGUAAUAGUAAUAAGGAGAUGUGUUUUGACAGAAAACGACAUGAGCGGCCUAAAAAUAAGAGGGAAAAAGAUAAUCAUAUAAAUAUGGGUUAAUUGCCUCUAAAUACACCACCUUUCCUUGAAUUCUACAAUUGCACAUCACCUUUAAAAUCCGCCCUUAAAUACACCACCUUUCCUUGAGUUCUACAAUUGCACAUCACCUUUAAAUCCGCCCCAAAAUACAUCAUCUUUAUAUUUUUUCUGUUUUUGCACAUGACUAAAAAAUUCUCAAGAAAUAAAUUAAAGUGUUAAUUUAUAAAUUUAAAUAUCUUUUUAGCAGCGAAAACAUAAUAAAAUAAAAUUCUUUAUAAAGUUUAAAAUCAUAUAUAUAUAUAUAUAUAUAUAAGUAUUUUCGUAAAGAAAUAAAUUCUCUAAUAAAUUUUUAGAAAGAACUUGAAUUAAAAAAAUAAACAAGUCAUGACAUUAAGAAAAUAAAAUGAAAUUUUUAUUUUAAUAAAUUUCACACGAAUUCGAUAUAAUUUGGAAUUUAGAGUUACAAUAAUCAGAAGUACCACAUGAAUAAUAUAAUGAGUUUGAAAGAAAUUUUUUUUAAAGAGGUUCGACACGCCCAUUCGACUUUCCACGCGCCUCCAAUGUCAUUUACCUGAAAUAUUAANUAUAUAAGUAUUUUUCGUAAAGAAAUAAAUUCUCUAAUAAAUUUUUAGAAAGAACUUGAUUAAAAAAUAAACAAGACAUGACAUUAAGAAAAUAAAAUGAAACUUUUAUUUUAAUAAAUUUCACACGAAUUCGAUAUAAUUUGGAAUUUAGAGUUACAAUAAUAAAAAGAACCACAUAAAUAAUAUAAUCAGUUUGAAAGAAAUAUAUAUAUAUUUUUUUAAAGAGGUUCGACGCGCCCAUUCGACUCUCCACGCGCUACCAAUGUCAUUACCUGAAAUACUAAAUAUGGGAUAAGCAUACAUAAUAUACUUAGUGUGGGAACAUGCAAUUAUUGUCCACGUUAAUAAAAUAGUAACACAUACGAUCAUAACAUUCAAAACGACACAAUUUUGCCAAUAUGGAAGCCACGUCAUUUAAAGUGGUAACACCCUAAUCUAACUAAAGUGUUAAAUAUAAAUUUAAAGCGGAAAUAUAAUAAAAUAAAGUUCUUUAUAAAAAUAAAUAAAGAAUUUUAUUUUAUUAUAUUUCCGCUGCUAAAAAAGAUAUUUAAAAUUUAUAAAUUAACACUUUAAUUUAUUUCUUGAGGAUUUUUAAGUCAUGUGCAAAAACAGAAAAAAAAUAUAAAGGUGAUGUAUUUUGGGGCGGAUUUAGAAUUCAAGGAAAUGUGGUGUAUUUAGGGGCGGAUUUUAAAGGUGAUGUGCAAUUGUAGAAUUCAAGGAAAGGUGGUGUAUUUAGGGGAAAUUAACCCUAUAAAUAUUCAAAAUCAAACGGAUUGGCAUGUAUUCAUCAUUUUUUAUUUUUUAUUUUGAUAAUUUAACAGUAUUAAAUAAAGAAAUUUAUAGGCUGCGUCCCUUACUGCUUGGCUUUUAGAUUAUGUUGUAAUAAUAAAAUUAAAAGCACGUUUACAAUAUAAAAUUAAUUAUGAUAAAUACAAUAUAUUAAUAAUAAAUACUCAAUUACCUCUUAACAUAAUUCGCGCAUCAUGGCUUUUAGCUUAUAUUAUAAAGAUAUAAUAUGUUGUCUAUAAUAAUCGACGGAAGGUAAUAGACAACAUGUUUUACUUCUUGUCUAUAAUAAUAUAGACAGUAGAUCUAGUGUUAUAGAUAACAAUUAAUACGUGUUGUCUAUAUGAUGAUAGACACCAAAAAUCUCUGUUGUCUAUUCUAUGACAAAAAAAUUUAAAAAAAUUCUAAUAUAUUUACAUCCCUGUAUUACAAUACCAAUAUAUAUGAAAAAAUAAAAAUAAUUAAAAAUCAAAUAAUCAAACAAUACUUAUAAACCACUAAUACUCACAAUCAAAUAUUUACACAUCAACAAUUGUAUUAUCUUUAAUUACGCCUUCAUUUAUCUACUAAAAAAAAUCUCUAAUAAAAUCUCUAACUAACUCCGGUCAUCAUCUCUUGAAGGCUUAGAAAAUGUCCAAAUACAGCGGCACAUGCUCAUUAUUGUGUGAGCGAUGAGAACUUUGCGCUGAACCUAUAAAGUAACUAUACUUAACUGGUAAAGUAAUUGUAUCCCGUGAAUCUAAAGGAAGAAUAAACACGUUGAUAGAGUUUGAAAGAAAAGAAUAAAGAGAAUGAAAAUCCAAAGAAUUUGCUUCUUCCGUUGAACAAUCCCUACACAACGUUGAAAUAUCAAUGAAAACAAUGGCUAUCCUAUACUCCCUCCAUCCAUGAAAGAACUUCCUAGGAGGGAGUGACACGGGUUUUAAGAAAAAAUAUUGUUAAGUGUAUUGAGAGUGGAUAAAAGGUAGUUGAGUGUAUUGGGAGUGGUGAAAAUGUGUUAUAGUUAAUAUUGAGAGUUGUGAAAAGUGAAAAGUAAGAGGAUUAUAAGUGGUGGGGUAUAGUCCAAAAAUAGGUAGGAAGUUCUUUUGUGGACGUCCCAAAAAGGAAAGAUAUGAAGUUCUUUCGUGGACGGAGGGAGUAUUAUUUUGCAGCAGCAACCACGUUUAAAAACUCGAUCCCUCUAUUCUUGAAUUUGUGAAAUUUCCGACUGAUUUAUUAGAUUCACCAUUUAUUUCAGUUUAAUUAGUCUAUAUAUAGAUAUUUCUUAUAUUAUUAAAUUGUUAACCUCAUGGUAGAUUUCAAGAUUUGAAAAUUCAACAAAGAGCUUGAGAAUUAUAGAGAUUGGAAGGGGAAGAUGAAACAUAGUUGGGUGAAAUUAGAAACCAAUUAAAGUCAGGAGAUUGAAGAAAAACAUAACUUAAAAACACAAAAUAAGCAAAUCGUAGAUGCAGUAUCUUGCAAGAAAAAGUUCAUAUUCCCAAGGCUAUGAUGAGCACGAAUUAGGGUGUGUCUGCAUUUUAUCCCUCUAAAUGGAGGAAUAAUAAAAUUUUAUGCCUUUAAAUGUUUGCUUUCUUAUCACACAUUCUAAACAAACACCAUUUUUUCUUCCUUAUUUUCACUUCAAUGAGGGAUAAUAUUAUCCCUCCAAUUUUGGUGUGAUAAUAUUAUCCCUCCUACAAGUGAAAAUAAGGAAGAAAAAAUGGUACUCCCUUCGUCCCAAACGAAAUGUCCUGUUUUCCUUUUUGGGCUGUCCCAAACGAAAUGUCCUGUUUCCUUUUUUGGCAAUACACUCUCUCUCUAUACUUAAUAUUUAAAUAAUUUUCACCAACCCACUUUAUCUACUUUAUACACAUUUCUUAAUCUCCGUGCCGAAAAGAAAUGGGACAUUUCGUUUGGGACGGAGGGAGUAUUUGUGUAGGAUGUGGGAUAAGAAAACAAACAUUUAAAGACAUAAAUUUUUGUUAUUCCUCCAUUUAGAGGGAUAAAAAGCAAACACACCUUAGAGUCUAAUUACAAUUUAGGCGCAGGCUGUGUGAGAAUUACUUAGUCGAAUAGGAUCCUUAGUAUUUAUAUUUCUCAUGUUCUUGUGUAUUUUUUCACUGAUUCACUAUUGGAUUAACAAGAAUUAUCUUACUUUAAAAAAAAAAAAGAAAUGAUCUUACUUCAUGUAUGGUAUGCCAACUGUUCGAUAAAGGUCCUUUUAGAAAUAUUCCAUAGAUUACCUUGCAAAGACCACAAAACUAGACACACCCUGCAUAGUUUAUACAUAGGGAUGGCCGAUUGAUGAUCGUCUUAUUUGUAGACUUAACGAGAGCAGACUCGAUCGCUUAGUCCUUACUGAUUUACGACACACAUGCACACAUACACAGAUACACACAUCACAAAAUCACGCAAAUUGACGGAUAAUGUUGCCGGCCAGCUCCUUCCUGCUCCACGCCACGGCAUUUUUCUGCACCAUGGUGGCCGUGAAAUACCACGAGACGAUGUCAUGGGUGGCGACGUGUUGUCCGGUGGCGGCGGAUAGCCCGACCUGAACCUCCUGAGCAACAAAGUAGCUCAAAUCGUACUCAUAGCUGACAUCAAACGUCUGAUUGCCGGCGGUGACUUUGACGGAGAUCAUCCUUGUGGCUCCGACGUAGUUGAUCCGCGCAGUUACCUGCUGCUUGAGUAUGGAGCUGUCGACCGGCGUCGUCUUGCUGGAUACCCUAGAGCCGAAGUCGAUGCCGAUGUGGGGAUAGAGCGGAUCCCACGCGCCGUUGACGUAGGUGUCGAUUUCAACGGCGAAGACCCCGGGGCUGUUGCCGUUGGAGCCAAAGAUUCCGAGAUUGGCUCCGUCGGAGCCAGGGGGGAUGGUGGAGUCGACGGGGGCAAUGAAGAAGGCGAGGCCGUCGGCAGGCUCGUUGUCGGCGCCGGGGGUGAUGAUGAAGUUCACGGUGGUUUCGAAGUCGACCUGCCCAUUGGACAUCCAGAAUUGGACCGGUUCCGAGUACAUGACGCGGCCGACUUGGGACGGUUGUGCGUCUGUGAGGCGGAGGAAGGUGGAGUCCGUCGGGAAAUGGGCGUUGCCUUGAUAGAUGAGAUCUUUCGGCUGGUCGCCCCAGAAGUCGAAGGUGAACGACGUCGUUUGGGACAACGCCGUGUUGGAAACGGCGAGGAGGAGGGCGAUGGAGGCGAGGAGAGGAGUUAAGUUGGCCAUGGCUUAAUAGAUUUAGAUUUAGAGAUGUGGUGGAUGAUGGUGGUAUCGAUCUGUUGCACCUAUUUAUACUAGUAUGGUUCAUGCCUGAUAAUAAUUGUAUCAAUCAAUCAUCGUGCAUCUAUCCCAAAUUAUAUGUC